Molecule: long non-coding RNA, 48054 nt
Filed under: Ananas comosus (pineapple)
Lineage: Eukaryota; Viridiplantae; Streptophyta; Magnoliopsida; Poales; Bromeliaceae
Source: RNAcentral
GACAUCGUGUCUUAAGUCACAGAGUUUGUAUUAGGAGGUGAAAAAAUGUAAUUUUGUUUUUGUUGGAUCGAUCAUGCAGAAGAUUAUUGUUUGGUGAUUGCAAUAAUCUUCUUAUUUUAUUUUUGGAUGAGUAUUGUAAUAUUUUUUUAUUUUGUCACGAAAUCGCCAAAGGGGGAGAUUGUUAAGGAUUUUGUUAAGUUGGCGAUUUUCGUAAAGUUUUGGACGGAGUCUCGAAGAGGUAGAAGACGAAGGUUGAAGAAAGAAUUGGAGUUUGGCGAUCAAAGACCCUUGGGAUCUCAGGUAUGAUUAUAUAUAAUUUGUGGUGAGAGUUUGUUAAAAAUGUUUAGAAGACCUGGUUUUAUUUUUGAAAAUCAAAAUAAAGUUUUCAAAAAUUCUCAGGGGUCAGGGACUGGUCCUUCAUCAGAGGGACCGGACCCAUCAAGCUUCUCUGCGUAGAAGUUUUGGGAGACCGGUCCCUGAUCUUGAGGACCGGUUCCCGUAUGUGGUUUUUCUUUAUUGCGCAGGGAGGGACCGGUCUCUGAAUUGAGGACCGGUCCCCGUACGCUUGUUUUUACAGCUAUGCAGCGAAAGACCGGACCUCACCUUGGAGGACCGGUCCCCCAAGGACCGGUCUCCUCGGGAGGACCGGACCCUGAGACCGUCAUCAGUUUUUAAAUUGAGUUUUUUGAAUCCUAGUCUAUCUAGAAGUCUUCUAAACCUAUAAAUAUGAUAUGAGGAUCUUCAUGUGAGGUAGAUUGAGCGAGAUAACCUUUUAGAAACCCUAACGGCUUGAUUCGGAGUUUCGAUUUAUGUUUUUAAACAUCAAGCUUUAGAUCGCCGAUUUGAUUCUUUGAUUUGAUUCAAAUCUUCUUUAAGGAUCAAAUUGGUGAUGUUUUAAUUUGGGUUUCUCCUCAUAUUAUAUGUUCUUUCAAAGAUCUUAAAUCACCACAAAUUGUUAAAUCCCUACGUGCUUCGGAUGGAGCGUUAAUGCGUGGAUCUCGCGUGAAGACCGUGGAUUCGGUGGGCGUUUCGUGGAAUCGAGGCGUGUGCAGCUGCAAGGACUUGCAGUGUGAUCGGUUGGAGGAUUCCAAGCGAUCGAGGACUGGCAAAGAUAAUCUACAACGAGGAUUCGGUAUUUUGAGUCUUGUAUUUUUGGUAAAUCACUUGUACUCAUAUUUUCUUAGUAGAUUUCUUUGUGUGAUCGGUCCCGUGGGUUUUUCUCUUCGUUUUGGAGUUUUCCCACGUUAAUUCUCGGUGUUCUGAUUUUAUUUUCCGCAUUUACUUUAUAUUCGCAUUGAGUUUAGUGAUUUUUACCGUUUACACCUAUUCACCCCCCCUCUAGGUGUUUUCACCUUUUAGAUCCUCGAGAUUCAUAUCUUACAAAAAACUCCAAAACGACUACUUCGAAAAUCUUCGAAAACUACACACAUAAUAAGAUGAAAAAUACCUUUGAUCAAGCUACACUUGUCCAAAGCUCAAAUCAACCCAAAGGAUCUUCAAAUCCAACAUAAAGGAGAGUUCUAAACUCAUCAAUUAGGUUCCAAAAGCCUCAAACCAAGAAACCUAAAAAGAAACCCUAAUAUCUCAUAUCUAGGGUUCAUCUCAAGAAAUCCACUAAAAGGUGAAUCAAAGGGAAGAUUAAAGCUACUAAUCUCUCUUGAAGCUCCAAACCAAGCUAGGAAUGAGCUAGGGUUAGAAAUCUUUCCUCCAAAAGGCUCCAAUCCAAGCUCCAAAGCUUCUCCAAUGGUGGAAAGAUCACCAAAAAAUGCAAAGAGAAGCAAAAGAGGUGAUUAAUCCUCUAAAAUCCAAGCAAAAAUGGAAGAAAAUCAAAGAGGGAUGAGGAGAGGCUCCUUACCCUUCUCUCAUCAGGUUCCAGGCUCAGGGAGCACAAGAGGGGGCGUGAGAUAUUUGUAGAGUAGUAACAAUUUCAAAAACACCCCUCAAGAACAAGCAGUCAGCAAUCUGCACUGCGUACCGGUGACAUAGGAUGGGGUAUCGGUACUAGGCAGCAGCACGCCCAAACCCGAGCCUCGGGUUGGCGAGAAAAUACCCUGAGUACCGGUACUAGCGCAAUGAAGUACCGGUACUCGGGCAAUGCAGUACCGGUACUCUGCCCUACAGAGUCCAUCCCGAGAGCAGUCCAAAUUCUACAAUUUAGAGAUUUUGAUGCCAAGUUUCCAUCCUCGCUCCUCGGGAUGCAAGUCAUAGGUCGGAACACAAUCGACGACCAUACAGAAAACCCAAAAAGGCUCAGAUCAUCAAUCAAAUACUCGAACCUUACAAUUUGCUAAAGUUCAGUGUGUUACAUAGUUGAAUAGUAUGGUCUAACGAAUGAAAAUGGCCAAAGGGAUAGAUCUAACGACAGAAUACUCAAUAGCAACAAACACUUGGUACUAUCGAUAGUAUAGUAGCCGUACUCUACAUAUAUAGGUAGAUUUAACGGCAGAAAACUCAAUAACACCAAGCGCUUGAUAUUAUCGAUAGUAUAGUAGCCGGGCUCUCUAUAUAUAUAGAGUCCGGCUACUAUACUAUCAAUAGUACCAAGCGCUUGGUGCUAUCAAAUUUUGUGCCGUUAGAUCCACCCCUUUGACCAUUUCCACCCGUUAGAUCAUACUAUUCAAUUAACCAUUCAUUCAACCCUAGGGUAUUACUAUCAUCCUAACCACACAUCCCUUCAUCCAAAGGCCGAAAACCUAAUAGCAAGUGGUUGGUAGUAUUAAUUGUAGCACACUGAACUUUAGCAAAUUGUAAGGUUCUAGUAUAAGAAUAGCAUUUUGAGCUAUUCUAAAAGUUCUAGCGGUUGUUUUGAGUGUGUUGGCCUGUUUUUGAAACUUUCGAGCGCAAGAACAGAUUUCAACAUCAAAAUAUGUAAAAUUUUGAUUUUUGGUGUUGAGUAUCGGUAUUGAGUUUGUGGUACCGGAACUCAGUAGAGAGCAGAUUUGGGCAACUCUCGGAUUUUGCGAAACCUGAUUGUGUGUGCCGGUACUGAGCCGAGUACCAAGUACUGCAUCGAGUUUGUACCGGAACGCAGUAGAAAUCAGAAUUUUCAACAUUCGGGUUUUGCGGGAUUGAACCCUUGGUACCGAAACUGCCAAGUACCAUACUCAAAUUCGUUUACCGGUACUUAAUGCUGUAGAGACUAUUUCGUUCAGUUUAUAAUUUCUGAGUUUUGAGGGUCCUAAUCGGAUAUUGUUACAACUUGUAUAACACCCCCUCUACCCCUCUCAUUCUAUCUUGUGGGCUAAGGUUAGAGAAAGAGAAGAGGUGAGUUCCUCCUCCAUUUUCUCUUAGAAAUUUCUCCCUUCAACCUCUCUAAUCUUUGGUUAUCCCCUCCUUAGGUGCAUGCAUCUGGACCUUGAAAGGAGCUAGGAAGUGAAGGAAGAAGCUUAAUUGAGGAUUAAACUUCAACUCUAGUAUCUUAUAGCUUGGUUUGGAGUUUUAUUUGAGGUUAGUAACUGUCACGCCCGGGUACCAGCGGAAGCAUAUCCGGUACGUGCACAGACCCGCCAUACACCUGCAGUAUAUAAGGCGUCUACGAAGAAAGCAAGUCGAUAGGAAGUAAAACAAAGAAAGUCCUAUCCUGAUAUCAGAGCAAUGUACAAGUCGAUAUAUAUCAACAAAAGAACAAAGAGUGUACAAUCCCAAAAUCUCGACUAAAGAGCAAGUAUCACAACAGAAACAUCGGGAUCAACAGUAAAUAUACACCACGGAGUAUACAAAAAUAGGUAUAAUGGUGGUCUCUCUAUACAAAGGACAUCACCCUCGGCCGUAGCCCGAGUAGCAAGGUGAUCGACUAGCACGCUCCUAGCAAUGUCUAGCUAGACGCGACUCCCUUGCCACGAUCCCUAGCCUCUCCUGUAGAUGGCUCUGUAAAAACAACCACCAAAAGGGCGUGAGAACUAUUAACAAUAGUUCCCAGUGGGUAAGCCGCCAGCCUCGGCGAAUUACACCACUAGGCUCAUGAUGUACUAAUUGAAAGCAAAAACGAUAAUUGCAUGAUUUAUAAGCAUGAUGCUAACAAGUAAUGAGCAUGUAAUCAACAUGUAAUAGCAUUCUACAGUAAUGAAUCAUUUGCAUAAUAGGGAUAUGGCAAUUUCUGUAAUCAUGAACAUAGACAUGAAUAUAAGCACGAACAUGAAAGUGACUACUGUACACUUUAAUUAAUAAGCAUUCAUUACUGUCCUUUUUCAUUGAGUACUAUCCUUUCAUUCACAGGGACCUACCCAAGGUAGUCCAGCUUGCGCCGCGCCUAAUGGCCCCGUGGUAGUAUACACUCCCCACGGCAAUCCACUUCGGCACCCAAUCCCGCACGGGCGAGCAACUGUCGCGUAGGCCAACUCCGGAGUGCCGGCUUGUAGGGAGCUACCCUCACAAGCGUGUGCGAAUGAGCACGAUGGCAAGCAAGCAAGGUCCACAGUCCAACAUGUCUCAGCUAUCACAAUUAGCUCACAAUAUUCUCGCUCUCGAUCCUUUGAUCGGGAUUUCAAUAUAACCAAUAUUGAUAACGACUAGUAUCCACUAGAUAACAAACAUGUAAGAGUAAUGCUAGUUCAUAUAUGGCAUUAGAGUCUUUCUACUAUCAUGGCACUAUCAACAUAGUCACAUGGCAUGUCAUUGUUCUCUACUUUAUAAUCGAUAAAGUCAUGAGAAUAUCAUUGUUCUCUACUUUACAAAAGCAUAAUUAUCAUGUCCAUUAGUUAUUCAACUUAACUAAAAAUAAACAUAAACGUAAGCAUAAGUACAAUUAUGCAUGAAUUCUCUCUACUUCAUAGAGGUUCUAUUCAAUGUUAUGGCAAAGAAGUUCCAACAACCAUAUUGUGCCAAUAUCGCGCAACUAUCUCAAGUUCCAUACAUAUAGAACAUAGGGGAGCUUCACUUGCUCUGGUUAGGUCAAACCCACCUCGUACUAAGCUCCAAACAGUCCAAAGGAAGUCCCAAAAUCGGCUCAACAAAGCCCCAAUGCUGCUGAAAACAAGGUACGAGAGUCGAGUCAAUACUAUAACCGAAAUGUCCAAUUUCGGUACCAUUCGCACUUAAAGCAUAGUAGAAGUUUAAUUCCCUGUUUAGGGCUAGUUUGAUACCUCAAAUUAGGCUUCCAAAAGGCCCUCCACUGCCAAUCAAAGACGGUCCAAGGGUCAAAUGCUCUCUCGCUGCGAACAAAACCGAAACGGCGUCAAUAUGCUUGUAUAUCGGCUAGAUUAGUCGAAAUCUAGAAAUUUCAGUUUUCUAGCAGAAAUUCUUGCUUACCCUUGGUUAGAGCACCUUCUAAAUCAGUCCCCAAAGUCACCAAAUAAGCUUAAUUUGGUUCAACAACCUGCUGCAAAGAGAACAAUUUUCAAAUUGCAUCAAUUCGAUCGAAUAACCCGCGUAUAGUCCGAAAUAGCUUCGUAAUUAGCGAAACAUCUCUAAUAAGCUUCAAAGAAGCUCAUCCCUGGUCUAAGGAGGUUAAAUCAUAGCUAAGUGAUUCAUUUAUAAUAGCUGAAUUCUCAGUUUACAUCGGUUAGAAGCAAAAACUCAAACUCAAUACUCAAAUCGACGAAUAGAAUGCCGAUAACGGAAAAACAUUGAGUCGUUUACCUUCUCAAGCUUCCAACCAACAACCCACUGGUCCAGAGCUGCGAAAAGCUCUCCAAAAUACUCCCUCACACGUCCACGUAGGCUCUGCGACACUUGCGAACAGCGAAGAACCAACGUUGCGACGAAAACGAGCGAAAUCGUCGAAUUCUAUGUAGAGAGAGAAAAACCCUAGAGAGAGAAAGAGGAGAAGGUGAAGAAACCCUUUGCUGAGCUCUAGCACACUCCACUGAAGUCCCAGAGUCGUGCUGGGAUCAAAUAGAUAGGUAUCAAAUGUGAAAAGACCAAAAUAGCCUUACUGCCAUUAUUCUGCCAGCUUGUACCGGUACAAGGUAAUGGCUGUACCGGUACAGCAAGCAGAAAAAUGCUGAUUUCGCCAGUUCAAUGCAUUUUCUCACUUUUAGCAUUCCAAUCAACCUCUAACUUAUCCAAAAACUUGUUCUAACCUUUUAGAACAUGUAGGAUUGAUCCACACAUCGUUCCACACACUCGAACUCCGCAAUUUGCAAAAGUUCCGUAUAUUACAGUAACCUUCUUACAUUCUAUAUUGUGAAUUUUGUAAGAAUUUUGAUAGAAAACCUAGUUUGGAAGAAACUAGGGUUUAUUUUGGAUUUUUUUUUAUGUUGAGCUUUUGGGGUUGAAUCAAUAGGUGUAGAACACUCUUUUAGGUUAGAUUUGAAGUUCUUUCUCCUUCGUUUGGUCUUUGGACAAGUUUCUCUAAAUCAAAGAUACUUUUUUACCUAUUUUCUACUUGUUUUUUGAUGAAUUUCGUGGUAAGCUUUUUAGAAGCUUGUAACCCCUUCGAAAUUUUUCUUAAGGUGUUAGAAGUCUAGAGGGCAACUUCGUUUGAAAAAUGAUCAAGUUUUCGAACGGUAUCCGGUGGGUUUGACAUAGGUGAACUCCUCCUAUGUCUCCUAUUUUGUUACAGGAAUUAAUAAAUGCAUUCUUAUGCUAUUCAUGACAUCAUAAAAUUUUUGGACACAUGGCAUAUCCAUAUUAUGUAUGAAACCCUACAUUCUUUAUGUAGUAAAGGAGUUUUGACAACAACAUGCAUAUUAUAACAUAUGAACUUGUAUUGGGAUGCCAAUUUCUUUCUCCUAUUCAAAUAUGUGUGCAUGUUAAAUAUGAAUAAUAUUAUCAUAUGAGACACUAAACAUGGCUAGUGGAACUUUUGGGCUUGGACAUUGAAGGGCAAUAGUUUACAUUUGCUAUGCUUAGAGGAAAACAUGAAACUUUGCAUGUUAAUGACAAGUUGUAGAGCUAAGUAUAUUGUACUUAACCAAGAUGAAUAACUAGAGAUGACAUCAUGAUAUUAUACUCGACCUCUAGUUGGUGACAUUCUAUGUUUUAGACAUGACGAUUAAGUUUUUUACGCAUUUGAUUACACUUGUUUGUCUUUGUGCCCAUUCGCACAAGCUUGUGACGGUCACUCCUUACAAGCCGGCACUUCGAAGUUGGCCUUACCGACAUCAUGCUCACCCAUACAGGAUUGGACGCUGAAGUGAAAUGCUGUGGGCGAGGCUCAUUUUUAGAGGGGGAAUGUUGACUACCACGGGGCUAUUAGGCAGGGCACAAGCCGAGACUAUACCUUGUGUAAGUCCCCGAUGAUUGGGUAAAUGUAAUUUAAAUUUAACAUUGUACAUCACAACUAGUUGGUGCAUGCUUAGUAUUUGGACAUAUUUAUUAGUCAUUGUAUACUUAUACAUGUGAUAGUGUAGAUUUCAUACACGUUAAUUAACAUUGAUAUUUAGAGACAUAGUAGUUUGUCUGCCGCGAACGAACCGGCCCCGCCGUAGGUUGUUUCUAAGGUGAGUGGUCAUUCAUGGUAGAGAUUAAAUCUAUUUAUGAUUUAUUUUAAAAUCGGGAUUAUAGGUUCAUGGCUUCCAACAAACUCAAGAAUCUGUUGUUAAUUACCACACACUUUCGGUGUUAAGGAAACCUCGAUUAAGAGACCAAAUAUAAAUAUUGAUGAUAAAAGAGAAAAAAUAGGCAAAUAAAAUUUUAUUAAUAUGAUUUGCCGUAUACAUGGCUUAAGCAAAGGUAUACCCCCACUGUACAUAAAUUUUAUAAGACUAGAAUUGUCACGCCCCAAUCCUCGCCAAUUUGGUCGGGUUCGGGUCACGUCAACAGACGCCGAACGGACAGAGCCCCCCCUGUCCGCCCAAGGCUCUAACAACAUGUAUAAAUAGGCAAUCAACAAGAGAAUUGCAUAUAUAAUACAAGGCUCGCACGAGGGCAAGCAACAACGGAAGCGAAAGCUCUAAACUAAAUAUACAUCACACAUAAUAUUUGAUUUCAUUUAAACCAAAUUCAAGUAACCAAAGUUAUUACAUUCCAUUCAACCAUCCUAUCUUUUACAUUUAGUCAUCCACCAAAUACAUGAUUGUUUACACNNNNNNNNNNNNNNNNNNNNNNNNNNNNNNNNNNNNNNNNNNNNNNNNNNNNNNNNNNNNNNNNNNNNNNNNNNNNNNNNNNNNNNNNNNNNNNNNNNNNNNNNNNNNNNNNNNNNNNNNNNNNNNNNNNNNNNNNNNNNNNNNNNNNNNNNNNNNNNNNNNNNNNNNNNNNNNNNNNNNNNNNNNNNNNNNNNNNNNNNNNNNNNNNNNNNNNNNNNNNNNNNNNNNNNNNNNNNNNNNNNNNNNNNNNNNNNNNNNNNNNNNNNNNNNNNNNNNNNNNNNNNNNNNNNNNNNNNNNNNNNNNNNNNNNNNNNNNNNNNNNNNNNNNNNNNNNNNNNNNNNNNNNNNNNNNNNNNNNNNNNNNNNNNNNNNNNNNNNNNNNNNNNNNNNNNNNNNNNNNNNNNNNNNNNNNNNNNNNNNNNNNNNNNNNNNNNNNNNNNNNNNNNNNNNNNNNNNNNNNNNNNNNNNNNNNNNNNNNNNNNNNNNNNNNNNNNNNNNNNNNNNNNNNNNNNNNNNNNNNNNNNNNNNNNNNNNNNNNNNNNNNNNNNNNNNNNNNNNNNNNNNNNNNNNNNNNNNNNNNNNNNNNNNNNNNNNNNNNNNNNNNNNNNNNNNNNNNNNNNNNNNNNNNNNNNNNNNNNNNNNNNNNNNNNNNNNNNNNNNNNNNNNNNNNNNNNNNNNNNNNNNNNNNNNNNNNNNNNNNNNNNNNNNNNNNNNNNNNNNNNNNNNNNNNNNNNNNNNNNNNNNNNNNNNNNNNNNNNNNNNNNNNNNNNNNNNNNNNNNNNNNNNNNNNNNNNNNNNNNNNNNNNNNNNNNNNNNNNNNNNNNNNNNNNNNNNNNNNNNNNNNNNNNNNNNNNNNNNNNNNNNNNNNNNNNNNNNNNNNNNNNNNNNNNNNNNNNNNNNNNNNNNNNNNNNNNNNNNNNNNNNNNNNNNNNNNNNNNNNNNNNNNNNNNNNNNNNNNNNNNNNNNNNNNNNNNNNNNNNNNNNNNNNNNNNNNNNNNNNNNNNNNNNNNNNNNNNNNNNNNNNNNNNNNNNNNNNNNNNNNNNNNNNNNNNNNNNNNNNNNNNNNNNNNNNNNNNNNNNNNNNNNNNNNNNNNNNNNNNNNNNNNNNNNNNNNNNNNNNNNNNNNNNNNNNNNNNNNNNNNNNNNNNNNNNNNNNNNNNNNNNNNNNNNNNNNNNNNNNNNNNNNNNNNNNNNNNNNNNNNNNNNNNNNNNNNNNNNNNNNNNNNNNNNNNNNNNNNNNNNNNNNNNNNNNNNNNNNNNNNNNNNNNNNNNNNNNNNNNNNNNNNNNNNNNNNNNNNNNNNNNNNNNNNNNNNNNNNNNNNNNNNNNNNNNNNNNNNNNNNNNNNNNNNNNNNNNNNNNNNNNNNNNNNNNNNNNNNNNNNNNNNNNNNNNNNNNNNNNNNNNNNNNNNNNNNNNNNNNNNNNNNNNNNNNNNNNNNNNNNNNNNNNNNNNNNNNNNNNNNNNNNNNNNNNNNNNNNNNNNNNNNNNNNNNNNNNNNNNNNNNNNNNNNNNNNNNNNNNNNNNNNNNNNNNNNNNNNNNNNNNNNNNNNNNNNNNNNNNNNNNNNNNNNNNNNNNNNNNNNNNNNNNNNNNNNNNNNNNNNNNNNNNNNNNNNNNNNNNNNNNNNNNNNNNNNNNNNNNNNNNNNNNNNNNNNNNNNNNNNNNNNNNNNNNNNNNNNNNNNNNNNNNNNNNNNNNNNNNNNNNNNNNNNNNNNNNNNNNNNNNNNNNNNNNNNNNNNNNNNNNNNNNNNNNNNNNNNNNNNNNNNNNNNNNNNNNNNNNNNNNNNNNNNNNNNNNNNNNNNNNNNNNNNNNNNNNNNNNNNNNNNNNNNNNNNNNNNNNNNNNNNNNNNNNNNNNNNNNNNNNNNNNNNNNNNNNNNNNNNNNNNNNNNNNNNNNNNNNNNNNNNNNNNNNNNNNNNNNNNNNNNNNNNNNNNNNNNNNNNNNNNNNNNNNNNNNNNNNNNNNNNNNNNNNNNNNNNNNNNNNNNNNNNNNNNNNNNNNNNNNNNNNNNNNNNNNNNNNNNNNNNNNNNNNNNNNNNNNNNNNNNNNNNNNNNNNNNNNNNNNNNNNNNNNNNNNNNNNNNNNNNNNNNNNNNNNNNNNNNNNNNNNNNNNNNNNNNNNNNNNNNNNNNNNNNNNNNNNNNNNNNNNNNNNNNNNNNNNNNNNNNNNNNNNNNNNNNNNNNNNNNNNNNNNNNNNNNNNNNNNNNNNNNNNNNNNNNNNNNNNNNNNNNNNNNNNNNNNNNNNNNNNNNNNNNNNNNNNNNNNNNNNNNNNNNNNNUUGUAACAAUUGCACUUAAGCCCCUCCUCUUGUUUCCUCUUGAACUGCCCAGACUGGGCAUUUUUCGCCUUCGGGGACCGGUCUCCCCGACUAGGGACCGGUUCCCGAACGGGGAUUUUCUAGGACUUAGCCAAAUUUUUUAGCCUCUCAGCUGUUGCGCAGUGAGGAACCGGUCUGCCCAUUAGGGACCGGUCUCCCGAGGACCGGUCUCACCAUCAGGGACCGGAUGCCUCAGGAUUUCCUGGCAGGCUACGCGCACGGGGACCGGUCUCUCCUUCAGGGACCGGUCCCCGAGAGCUCAAAAUCUGGGACUUAGCCAGAUUUCUAAAUUUGCUCUCCGGGCCCCUUUUUACUCCGUUUAUGAACUCCAAUACACUUUGGGUCCACUUUAACUCGUUCCAUUUCGCGUUCCGCUCGUUUUGACGGAACUCGGUACGAUUUACGAGGGAUGUGGUAUGUUACAUUCUCCACCCCUAAAAUUUAGUUUCGUCCGCGAAACUACUUAGACUCGAAUUUAAAUUUGUUACCUCACUUCGGAUCCUCGAAGAGGUGAGGAUAACGCUCCCUCAUUUUGCUUUCGAGCUCCCACGUUUCUUUCCGUUCAUCGUGUUCGCACCAAUGAACUUUAACAUACGGGAUUUCGCGGUUCCGAAGCUUUCGCACCNNNNNNNNNNNNNNNNNNNNNNNNNNNNNNNNNNNNNNNNNNNNNNNNNNNNNNNNNNNNNNNNNNNNNNNNNNNNNNNNNNNNNNNNNNNNNNNNNNNNUGUCUCUAAGUGAUGUCCCAACAAUCACUUGCUUAGUGCCUCUUUAUGACACUUAAGCAUCACACUGAUCAAGCCCAAUUCUUGUUCUAUGUUUCAUUUAAACAUUAAUACCAAUGAUUACUAUAGCCCGGGCCCAAUGCCUCUUUAUGACAUUGACCCAAAAUCCCAAAUAAUCUAAGUCCCCAAGCCUCUCUAGGCUUCUAAAGUCCCUAAUGUUACAAUUGGGCAUUAAGGUAAAAUGCAUAAAAGUAAUGUUCAUUUUCAAAUAGGGAUCUUAGUUUCAAAGCUCAAUCAAAAUGCUAUAUCACUCAUGCAUACUCUCUACUACAUAGAGGUCCAAAAUUUUACUAUGUGUAACAUAGGCACUUUAAGCAUUCUAAAAUUCACAAUAAAUACAUAUAACAAGAAUAUGCAUGCUUUUUCAUUUUAUAACACAUAAAUCAACAUCAAUGAGAUUUUUCCAUUGUGUGGCUAGGUCAAACCCACCGAACCGUCGCGUGCUGCCUCGAUUCGCCGAACGAAGUUGUCCACAAGUCCCAAAAUAUCCUAAAAGUAUCGAGCGAAGAGAUACACGGGCAUUACGAUCAACUAUAAGAUCAAACUUUAACAAACAUAGCAAAAGGGCUAAAACUCACCUAAUGUGUAGGAAAUCUCUCUCAAGCUCCAAAAGAGAGCUAAAUCCCUUCCAAUCCAAGCCCAAGGAAGGUUAUAAUCCAAUCAAUCUAGCCUCAAAAGCCCUAAAUCAAAAAGCCCCAAAAAUCAACCCUAAUAUCAAUUCUAGGGUUCCAUAUGGUAAAACCUACCAAAUCAAGGAUCAAAGGGUAGAAUCCAAGUACUAACCUCCCAAGAUGCCUCCAAACAAGCUCCAAAUCUUCUAGGGUUGAAGAUUGGUCCACCACCAAGCUCUACAAGCAAGCUCCAAGCCAAGCAAGGGUGGAAAGGAAAGAAAGGGGGUUGAGCUCCAAGCUCCCUCAAGCAAGCUCCUCUUCUUCUUCUCCUCCUUCUUCUUCUUCUUCUUCUCUCUCUAAGAGGUGUAGGGAGAGGGUGAGAAUGAGAAAAUGAGAGAGGGAAGAGGAGGAAAUGGCUAAUAAGCCCAUCUAGUGUAACAAAAUCUGGAGAGGCCCCUCAAAAACUCAAAUUUACAUCAGCCCGAACUGGGCAGUUUUCGCCCAGAGGGACUGGUCUCUCCCCAGCAGGGACCGGUCUCUCGCUGCGAACCCGAAAAUCCAACGUUCGGGAACCGGUCUCUCCCUUUGCAGGACCGGUCUCUCACUCCGAAGACGCGCUCGGGGACCGGUCUCGCCCAUCAGGGACCGGUUGCCUCGAGGCCGCCGCAACACUCCUCACUGGGGUACUGGUCUCUUCUUCCAGGGACCGGUCCCCGAGAGUAAAAACUCUCAGGACUUGUCCAGAAUUUCAGUUUUCGAACUUUUUAAGUCGGAAAACAUUCCACAACCCUCCACCAAGUGUGGAAAAGCUUGAAAUACAUCCUAACACUCGAACCUCGCAAUUUGCAAAGGUCCAGUGUGUUACAUGAGAAAACUAGGGAACUGUGAAAUUCCGUAUGUUAAGGUACAUUAGAGCGAACACGACGAUAGGGAAGAGACUUGGGAGCUUGAGGACAUGAUGAGAGAGCGUCAUUCCCAUCUCUUUGCGAAUCUGGAUUAAGGUAUGGAUCGAGACUUCAAUUAAAUAGUUUCGCGGAUGAAACUAAUUUUAAAGAGUGGAGAAUGUAACAUAUUGAAAUCUCGAGAGCGAUUAUCGAACUUUACCCAAAUUGGAUUAAAGUGCCGAGAGAACUGGUUGGACAAGUUCCAUUUAGCAUUCCAAUAAGGUUGGAAGGGCUAAAAAUGAGUUUAAGAAAGGUUAGAAAGGUUUUAGCAUCGACCGGCGCGAAGUAGAGUCAAAACGAUGCAAAAACUGCAGUCUGGACAAAGUGUACCGGUACAACAUAAAUGUUGUACCGGUACAAAAUGGCUGACCGAGAGAAGGUUGCUCUCGAGUUUGCCUCUGCGCGAUCGUGUAACCAGUGACAGAUGAAAGUGUACCGGUACACUUUGGUCUGGCAGCAACUUUGAAGUCUGUUGUAAAUAAGAAUUGUUGAGGGGCCUAGCUACAAUUGUGACACACGAUAUAUGACCCCAUCCCUCCCCUUUCUUCACAGCAGCAAGGAUAUCUCUCUUCCUCUCAUUUUCUCUCCCCCUCUCCCUCUAGAAGCUUUGCACCAAAGCAAAGGAGAAGGAGAAGAAAGCUUGGAGGAGAUAUUUUGGAGGUCUAAAAGGCUUUAGAAGCUCUCCAUCAAGGUGGAACUUGGGAGGAGCUUAGGGCUAAGGUGAGUUUAUGCAAGAACAAUUCUAGGGUUUGGAUUUCCACCCUAAAACUUAAGAGUUUUGACCUUCUCUCAUGUUUAGAAGCUUAGUUGAGACCUUGAAUACAUGAAAUCCAUGGUUUUCUCAAGGUGCUCCAAUGGUGAACUUCUAGGGUUCAUAUUAGAUGCCCUAGGAAUGGUUCAAAUAGCUUAGGAAUGGUAUUAGAGAGUUUUCUAGAUGAUUUUAAGCUAGUAUUUGCUUAGUUCCAAUAUCAAUCUAGGAAAAAUCCAUAUAUGGCAUUGUUAGGGCACCAAAUUUAGGGCUUUUGCCUCCGAUCAUUUUCGAGGUAAAUUGACCUCAUGGAAACCUAAUUAGGGAUAUUUCCGACGAGUUGGUGCGCUCGGUUCGGCCAAACGAAAAAACUAUGUAAUGGUUCUUAGUAAAAAGCCUAAUUUGGCCCUAAUUUGGUACAAAUCAUUGUAGCACCUAGAAUAUGAGCCCUAAAAUCACGAGAAUCGAACCACAACUCCUCUACUACUAUUCAAGGUGUGGGGUGCAUUCCGGAAUCGUUGAAUUCCCUUCUAUGUCUAUGUCACACUUUAUUGAGCAUAUACAUGUAUAGUACCAUUCAUGCAUAAUAGGGUAAAUUACAUGUGAAUAUUGGUUGGACUUCAAUUAUAUGUUUCUAACGUAGAUGAACAUUGAGAUUGAUAUAACCAUAGUGGACAUGUAUGUUGGAACCCUAUACUUGUAUGUAUGUGAGGCCGGGACUAUGCUAAUGGUAAACAAAGGUGACAUUGACAAUAGAGACAAAAUUGGCAUCGAGAAAUGACUCGUUAAACAAGGUUUAACCAUUAAUGGCAUUGUGCCAAGAAUGACCUAGGAAGUGGCAUGAAUAAAUAGGUAGAAGCCUAUUAUGAUAGUGACAUUAUGGCUAGUGGCUAUACAUUCCUUAAGUGGGAAUUGGAUCGAUACUCACGAUAAGUCUUGGCUUGGGGGAGGUAGCUCCCCCUCAAGCGGUGUGUUCCGGAAUUGUCACCACGGGGAGCGUGGGCCCCGAAGACGGUCCCUCGGGUCUUGUAGUGCUUAGAGCCUCCCCGAAUGAAAGGAAUUUUGGGUUGUGAGCUAUUUGGGUUAACAAGGUUAACCGGUAAGAUUAGGUAAAAGCCAAAGUAUACUUAUGAAAAGAGCAUGCAUGCAUAAGCAUUCUAUAUUGAUUAUAUAUCCACUGACAGUUUUCUUGCAGGCAUAGUAUUAGUAUUAGUAUUGGUUACUAUUUCUCUUUCUUUGAAAUACUUAUGCUUAAGUAGACCUAGUGGGUAAGUCGGCGAGGUCGGUUGCCGAACCCACUGGGAACUUCGUUGUAGUUCUCACACUACUAACCCUACAGAUCCGAGCGCGAGCGGGGCGGCGGAGGAUCGAGGUAAGGGUAUUGCGCCAUAGCUAGUAGCCACCGGAGUACUUGCAUACAGUCAUUCCCUUUUUGGUUCAUGUAUCAACUUUCUUUUGUUGAUCUAAAGAUGUAAAAGUUGUAAACAUUCAUAUAUUUUGGGAGAAUGAUUAUGAUGUAAAAAGAUAUUAUGAAUGAAAGGAAAUGGAUGUAAUAGUUUUUAGUUUCCUAGUAUUUGGUUUAAAUGUAAUCAAAUAUUAUGUAUGGUUGUAUGUUGUACCUUAGAGCUUUCGGUUCCGUUGUUGCUUGCCCUCGUGCAAGCCUUGUAUAAUUGCAAAUCUCAUUGUUUGAUUGUUUUAUUAUACUUGUUGCUAGAGCCUUGGGCGGGCAGGGGAGGCCCUGUCCGUUCGGCGUCUGUUGACGUGGCCCGAACUGUCACGCCCCGCCCCGAAACCACUACCAAUUUGGCACGAUUCGGCCGUGGCGACGGACCACCGAACGAACAGCACCUCCCCUGUCCGCCCAAGGCUCAACAACAGGAAUGUGUACAAGAAUUUACCCAGGACUUUAAAUUCUAAACAUACACAUUCAAUGUGGGCACAAACAGUGCCAACAACAAGAAGAGCAAGUAAUCCACAAGAUAUACGAGUGAAAUAAAGAGAGUACUUUACUAACUAUUACAAUAGUUGCAUUCUUUGCAUUUACAUCAUUUUCCAAAAUGAAUACAUUUGAUCCUCAAAAUACAUAGCUCUCCAAUCUUACCUACAUGAAUAUCUCCCAAUACAUAGGUGUGCUAAUGCAAAAGGAAAGCUACUAUACUACCACGGCCUCACUGAUCGGGUGCGAUGCCCUUGCCGCGGCCCUCCCUCGACAAUCCUGAACCUACCACUGGAAAUAGAGUGGGGUGAGAACUAUCUUCCAUAGUUUCCAGUGGGCUCGGCCGCCAACUCUGCCGAUCUCCCCACUAGGUCCAAGUGGGCACAAGUAACAACAGAUAGAUAGAUAGAUAUGUAUCUGAAAGCUGUAAAUGCAGUAGUAGGAAAAACUAUGCUACUAUGCCCAUAAUCAUAAGUAUGAAUGCAUGCAUCAUAUAAUAAAGGUUUGCUAUCAUGCUAACAAAUUCGAUCCAUGUUCGAAUGGCUAUGUUCAAUGACAUUUAUUAACCUUUAACCUUUCAUUUACCCAAUCUGUGGCGAGGCCCUAGGGCUCGCCCAUAACUCAUCUUUCAAUCCCAAAGUGGGGAGGGAGCUCCAAGUGCACCCAAGCCCGGGACCGUCUGCGGACCUCCAUGUGGUCCGGACCUCCAAGUGGUCCUAGUCGCGCGACACUCCGGAGUACUCGACGACAAUCCCCUCCAUGUGGGGAUUGGAUGGCUAUACCAUCCUAAACGCAGACUGUGAGCUAGAUCUAUCCUCUCCAAGUGAGGAUACACUAUCACUAGGGUCAACAACCCAAUCCAAUCCUCUCCAAGUGAGGAGGCUCUACAACUAGAGUCAAUAACCCAAUCGAAUCCCCUCCAAGUGAGGACGCCCUACUCUAGCGUCAACGACUAUCGCGGACUCAUCGGUUCCCGACAUUCAUGCAAUGCUAUUUAGUUUUCUAAAUUCAUUGUUCACAAGGCAUUUUCUAAGGGAUCCACCUAUCCCUAGGUCCAUCGACCUCUAGUGUCAUAUACACUACAUUAAUGCCACUCGUUAUCAUUUUACAUUUGGAUGCCACUCGUUUGUUCUUUGACAAUAACAUUACUUUCUAUGUCAUCAACACCCCCAUCGGGUUCAUCUCUAUCUUUAGUAUCAUAGGAUCCACGUUCCGACCCAAUCCUCACCUAUCUAAGUUACCAAGCGUUCCAAGUACACUAGGUUAUCAAUUAGAAAGCAUAAGGAAUGGAGCUACUAUGCAAUCCUACAAUGCAACAUGAAGAGAUAAGAUCAAAUGCAAUCUAAGACAUAGAAAGGAGUCCGAAAGCUUUGGGAUGGCACCCCCCACCAUUUACCAACGUAGAGGCUCUAGAAACGUUCCUCGGCGAGCUUUACGAAAAGGCUUUAGCCUUCCUCGGUCCAAGAUAAUGCCGUAACGACCGUAAUUCGCCGAUUGCUCUAAGCCCGCUAGACGAAUCACGAAAUCAACUUCGCCCCCGCGUUUGGGCACCUAUCGAUGAGGUUUACAAGGCCUCAAAUGAGAUCAAUCUCAUACUUUACAAAAUUCCCCCAUUUGGAGCCCUAGGUUGCACAUAUAGCAAACCACCAGUAGAACCUUAAAUUCAUGGGAUUGAUCUACUUAGAAGCAUGCCUGGGGUCCAUUUGACCCAUUCCAAAGCAUAAAACCCAAAAACCCUAAGUUUACAAAGUUAGGGUUUAGUAGCUUACCUUAAGAGCUACAACCAAUAGGAAAAGGAGAGGGAGAUGGAGGUGCUCAACGCCUUCCUCUUGAUCUCCUUCUUCUUCUCCUUCCUUAUCUUCCUCUUCUUUUCCUUCCUCUCCUUCUUGUUCUUCUUCUCCUUCCUCUCUUUCUUGUUCUUCUUUUCCUUCUUUCCUUUCUAGAGAGAGAGAGGGAGCAAGAGAGAAAUGAGAGUGAGGGAGAGAGUGGAAUGAGAGAGGGUGUGAGGGAGAGAGAGGGCUCAGCCCACUCUAAUAAAGGCCAUUUUGCAUUUAGACCCCUCAACUUUUCAUCCCCUGCACAGCCUUUACUGGGCAGUUUUCGCGCGGAGGGACUGGUCUCCCCGACUUGGGACCGGUCCCCGAGACCUUCCCUCGGGCGCACGCGUUCGGGAACCGGUCUCUCCCCGGGAGACCGGUCCUCACCUGAGAGACCGGUCCCCGAGAGCUUGAUUCUCAGGACUUAGCCAAUUUCUUGGCAUUUCUCGCUGGGACAACGUUCGGGAACCAGUCCCUCCCUGCCAGGGACCGGUUGCAUCAAGCAACCCCGCAACACCCGGCCAAGGGAACCGGUCUCUCACCUCCAGACACCGGUCCCCGAGAGCAACAUCAGCCCCAUGAUGCAAUUUGCAUCAUUCGCUCUCGUGGACUCAACUCCAAAGCACUUUUUACGUUUUGGACAUUCUUAACUCCCACAAAGGGGUAUUCUCUCGACAGUCAGUAGAUCCUGGAUGAAGUACAAUCAUCAGAUUUCGAGAAUUCACUUUCUUACACGAACCCGACCAAAUUGGCGGGGAGCGGCACGUGACAGAUGGCUUUUUGAAUACCACCGCAUCGGCCAUCUUGAUGUCCUCGAGCUGCAACUGGGCACAACCAGCUCCUCUUCAUACUAAGGCUGCUUCUCAGCCUCUUCCGACUCUGCCUGGAAUGAACACAACAAUGUGUACACCAUGUCCACAUCAGCGAACUCCCUUCGGCUAAAAAUUUUCCAAUCCUCUAUGUUUUUCGUUAGAUUCUCUCACUGCUUUGGUCGAAGAUUCACUCUCUAGCCUAACCUCUCUCUCUUUAGCUGGCCAUCGCUCUCAUUUGACGAUGGUUUCCAUAGAAGCGAUCUUAUAUUCUAGCUCCUUGCAGGUGACUUGCUUCGUCGGCUCCACCACAACCGACUGCACUACCUAGGAUUUAAACUGAAAGUUUUGAGGAGCCCAAGAAUCUAUCUAGAUUGUAUCUAUCACCUAGAGGGGGGUGAAUAGGUGUAAUAACCAAAAACCACAAAUCUCGAUGCAAUAAAAAUAAAUGCGAAAAAUAAAAAGCACACCGAGAUUUACGUGGGAAAACUCCAAUUUGGAGAAAAACCCACGGGACCAACACGUGAAAAAACAAUCCACUCAGAGAAAAGAUUACAAGGUGAUUUACCGACUCCACGGACUCAACCUCUCUUGACCUCCUAUGGAUCUCGCGCAAUCCUCUGGGUUGUCCACGCCCUCACGUCCGAAUCCACGAACGCCCCGACUUCGAAUCCACGAAGCUCCAAUCACGCCGAAUCCACGACGCCACUCGAAUCCACGAGCCCACGAUCCGAAUCCACGAACCGCCGUCAAACACGCCGAAUCCACGACGCCGUCAUGAAGAGCAUCAUGAUUAUGGUGAUCCUUCGCUUAGGAGUAUCGUAGAAAACCAGGGAAAAAAACUCCAAGCAAAGCGGAGAUCAAAUCGGCAUAUAGAUAUCAAAAUACAAUAUUCCGAUUUGACCUAAAAAGAGGCUAAUAUGUAGAAAAUAGGUUUUAGAUGAAAUCCAAGCCUCUAGGGUUUCUCAAACAUGUAUUCUUAUGAUGCUUGAUCUGUUAGAGAAGCCCAAUAGCUUAUUUAUAGACUUUAGAAUCAAUUGGAGUCGGAUUAGAAAGAUUUCACGAUUUUACACUGUGUACCGGUACACUUUAGGCUGUCACCGGUUACACAAUGACGGAACGAAAAACCUGACGAAACAGUGGAACCGGUUACACCCUUGAUGGUCGUACCGGUACACAUUUUGUACCGGUACACUUCUGAUGCUGUACCGGUACACUUUGCAAAUUUUCGCCGUUUUGGAUUUUGCAAAGUUCCAAUGCACAUUCUAAUCCGUUAGACAUUGAUAACAUGAUUCUAAUGUCUACAACUAAGUAUGAAUCACCAUAACAUGAAUUUAUACUUUACCUGAGCAUCGUGAUUCAUAUCGUGAGUUAUUUUCCAACUUCUUCGAAAUCUUGAAUUCUUCGAUCUUCGACGAUAUGCACCAGUUCUUCAAGACUCCGACUCACUUCACGAAACUUGCCAAUACACAAGACUUAACAUAAACCAUAGCAGGGAAUUCGAGCCGCCCGCCUCACCAUCGUUCUUCAUAAGCUGAGGAGGCAAUAGUUGCCUAGGCCGUUUCCAAGUAUUCGGCCUUAUUCUCUUCUCUUCUUCCUAAUGAUGUCUUAUCUCGGCUUGCACUCUCUAUUGCUGCUGUUUUUGAGUUUUCGUAAGAAUCGGCUUGUACCAUCUGGCUAUUGCCCUCGCUAUGAACCAUUGGUUGGUUGGUACGUUUGUUGGCGCUUUCACUAUCCUGAGGAGUUCUCUUAGGAUGUCCCUCCUUUCCCAUGGCCUUAGCCAUGGCUGUAUUCCAAGCUCAUUCACUAACCUCCGACCAAGAGCUUCUAUUUCUCCCUCGAUCAUUCCUUCAAAUUUUGGUUUCGGUCUCGACCGUGGGUGUUGGUACCACAUUGGUCGAUAUCCCUAGUUCUUCUGUUGAGUGCCGAUAGGUUUCCUUGGAUAACCCUCAAGCCAGUCUUCUCCCUAGUUUGGUAGUACUCAUUCAGGACUUUUUGGAUCGGCAAGUACCUCAAGCCCUUUUCGGAGUUCACCUCCUCUUUGAAGUCACUGGAUGCCUCCUCCGAGCAUUCGUCUGUGUGGCCGAUGGCCUCUGGUAUGUCCUCCCAUUCUUUAGGGAAGGCGAUGAACUCCUUCUAAUCUCCGUAUGCCUUCUUCUCGCAUACGAUUGCUUCCCAAUCCUGACACAUCAUUUCGAUUUUGCACCUAAUGCAAAAUCGAAGCACUUUCUUGGUUUUAGCCACAUCUUUCUGAAAUCUAUCCUUUUAGAGUGACUUCUUCCUCUUGACGUCUAUCAUGUUAACCUACGUGGAAAAAGGGUUUUGGUCAACUUCCAAACUAUUUUUAUUUUCUUGGUCGGCAAAAACCAGCCGACCUUUAUUUAUUUUCUUUUGUAUAUGCCUCUUAAAGGCUAUACAGUUAUUAGUCUUGUGGCUCCAUGAAUGGUGUCACUUGUAAUACAUUCCCGCUGGAGAUGCUUGGGUCAUCUCGAGCUGAACCUUCUUUGAUGAAAGAGAUGUUCUUUUUUUUUCAUUAUUCCAUUCUUUGUUUCAGCCCCAGUGCGGCCAAUCAUCCUCAUUUUCCUUUCUUGCUCAUAUUGGGCAACCCGGACGCCCAAAUCAAACAGGUUAGGAAAAUAUUUAUCUUUGAAAUGGUACUUUAUUUUAAAGUGCGGACCAUUGAAUACUAUUUUAGCGAACUUUGAUUCCGGCAUCUUUAUAAAGCAUCGAUUUCAAGCCAUUUUGAAACGGUUCAUGUAUUCUUCGAUCGUUUCCCCUGAUUUCUGUCUGUAAAAGCUAGAUUGACCACCGAUAAUUCGGAUUUUGAUUUAUAAAGCUGCUAGUGAAACUUACACUCCAAUUCGUCCCAAUCUCGAAAGAAAUUGGCGGGAAAGCUCGUGUACUAGGUAAACGUCAUUUUAGUUAAUGAUGUGUUGAACAACCAAGCUUCAAGAAUGGGUUAGCCGUCGCUUCCCUGCACCGGGCCAUGAACCAAGUGAUAUGCUCUAUCAUAUUCUCUAUCUCCUCGCUCAAGAACUUAUCAAACUUCGGCAUCGUCCAGUUUGCCAGAUACGGAUAUUCCGCAUCUAUAUUAAUAAGAUAUGGGGACCUAAACACGAGCCGCAUUGCCUGCCUAGCUGAACGUAUUUUGGCUCACCUCUUCUAUUUUAGCAUGCAACUCAUUGUUUCCCGCUAGUGGGGCGGGAAUUGGGUUGGAAUAUCGUUUGGCUCUGGAGUAUGUCGGUAGUUUUGCACUACAGGGUUAAGUCCCUGCGCUGCAUUAGGGCCUCGCCCCAAGCCCUCACAUCCACAUUUCGGGGCUGAUAGGCAGGUAAGAGAGGUAGCAAAGGUAAACCCCAUGUGAUUUUCGGCUGUGGGCCGGCAUUUACAUUCGCCAGCGUAUAGGUAGCCUAAAAAGGUGCAAUCUGGGGUUGUGCCUGCAGACCUGCCAGCGCAAUAGGAUUUUGUUGCACCGUCAUGGCUAGGGGUCCUUGUGGACCCCAGUAUGGUUGCUCAUUCCAAGCUAACAAUUGCCCAAUAGGAGCGAUGUUCUCGUUGGAGGUCGUGAUGACGGCCAGCACCGUAUCUAAAAGGGAGGUACUAUGGUGGCUGCUCUGAUCCAGAGUCUGUAGGCUUGGGUCAUUUGCCCAAGCUGCUGAGUUAGGCUUGACUCUUAACGAGCUGAGUGCCCACUACUUUCACAUUCUGACUACAACGCCGCCUGAUGCUUAUUCGCAUUUUUGGUGUUACCGAUCUAGUUGUUCCCUGAGGGUCUGGGACUGGCCCUAUUUCAGUGGUUCAUCAUAUUAUCGUCAACCAUUUGGAAGAGAUUGGAAUGUAGCUGAGCGGGUCCCACCGGGCUUGCUGUGUUAGGAACUGAAUGCGGGGCGACACCGAUCGUACCAGGGUGUUCACCCGGUCAAGUUUUUCCUCGAGAUGUGAAUUUGCUGCUUAGUUGACCCUCGAGUGCACCACUAACAAAUCAAGCGACUCGGCUGAGGAGGGAUCGGCUCAACCGGGUUCUUACGCAACUAUUGACAAUUAUUCCAACACAAGGUCGGUUGAAUGAGCUGAGCGGUUUGUACUUAUUAGGGAAGCAGGAAUAAAAGUGUUGUUACAGAAAUAAAUCUAUUCCUAAGAACACUACCUCACUACACUCUUAGCUAAGCUCUUAAACAGGAAGUUAAAAAGAAAAUCUAUGGAAGAAAAUCUAUAGGAACUAACUUGUCGAAAAACUAUAAAUGACAAAAAAAAAAAAAAGAAAUUGAAAUUUGUUGUGAUCUUUUACUCAUGUGAAGGAACUCCUCUUACAGGCGUCUUCUCUUUAUUUAUAGUCCCGCCCGUCAUUUAUUUAGUUAUUCCCCAUUAUCGUCCAUAUCCCUAAUUCUGCGGAUCACUUUUGGCCGAUCUUAACUGCAUCGAUCUUAACCACUUUUCGAUUUUUAGAUGCGCUCUUCUCUACACCUGGCGCACUACAUGUUACUUAUCUUUGGCCUCGGGAGUUGUUUUCAUGUGGUGUAUCCUGGUUCACCACGUGGCGCAAAUUUUAUGGCGCCAAUAGGAGCCGAUUGUCAAUUUUAAGAACCUAGUAUCGAAAACGACUUGAUAGAACGUAGGCCAUCGUACUUCUAAAAGCAUACAAGCCAAACUCUCUCUUCCUUUCUCUCCCGUCCUCUCACUCUCUUUCUCUCUCGAAUUUUGAAUCUUUAUUCCAAUUUUAAAUGAUUAUUUAUGGCUGAUUCUAUUUUUUAUUUAAUUUAUUUUCUAAAUUUGAUUUGUUUCUAUGUAUGUUUUCUAUUUAGUUAUACCAUAAAUAUUUUUUAUGUCACGCCCUAUAUUACUCGUUUUUCCGGGCACGCCGACAAAUCCGCCAUAUACAAAGGAAUUUUUUCUGUACACGAAACGAUAGCUGUAUCUGUACUUGUAAUCAUACAACACUACAACCAGUAGUAUAGAGCUGUUAAAAGAAACAUAUAUAAAUAACCUCGGUUCAACAUACAUACAUAGUAUCCUGAUACAAAAAUCACUCGCUCCAGCGAGGCACUAACAUCAGUAUGUAUAAGAACCAAAAACUACAACUACCUGUAGUUGGUAUAAAUCUCUAGGUCAGCAGCAACUGGGAAGGGAUCUAGCUCGCGACUCCCUUUCCACGAUCCGAAUCAGCAACAGCAGCAGCCGAAGACGAAGGCUCUGCAAAAAGGAUCCACAACUGGGUGUGAUAACUACUGCAAAGAGAAGUAGUUCUCAGUGGGUACCACCACCGACCUCAACGGCUCACCGACUAAGUCUACACAAGGUAUGCUCAAAGAUAGUAAGAAAACUGAAAUAAUCUACAGCUAUAUGCCACUAUACUAUCCUGAUCCAGCAUUAACUAUCUGUAGAAAAUGCAAAUCCUGACCCAAUCUCACAAGGGAUUGUGAACACACCCGUCCCACCUGUCGAAGCUACACUAACUGCCACCACGCUAGGUCGUUAGUGGAGAGCAAGUCCAAACAGGACAAACCGACAUCAACGCAAAAGCACUAAGCCUGACUCCGGAGUGGCACUUGUGGGCGCUAUCCAACCGAGUAUGUAAGCGUUUCUCUACCGAGCUCAAUCAGGCUCUCACAGGCUGUAAUCAAAGUAGAAGGAUCUAACAGGUCGAACAACCAUGGUAAACAUGCCCUUGGCACAACCUGAUACAAAAACAGUAAACCGGGUCCACCGUCAACCACAACGGCACCCAACAGUCCGGAACAGUCUAUAGACUACUUUAAAAAUAAGCUCGGCAUCCCAGCACGAGCGUAAAUGCAUUCUACACUAUUCUGAGUAUCCACUGCCCACCAACUGCGGCGAUACAAACAAACUACUGCUCCUAGAGCGAAAUCCGAUAGUUUCAGAAAAUGACAGUGUAGAAUCAAUAGUUUUCUCCUAAGUCAAUUCCAAAUCCAACAUGUAUAGGUUAGCUAACAUUUUAAACUCCAAAUUCAGAUUCCAAAGCAUGCAAAUCAAUGAGUUUGAGCUAAUUAACAAAUCUACAAAACUAACAAUACAUACUGACAACACUAGACUUAGGAGGAAAUCCGCAGAAUCCGAUAAGCAUAAUAUUAACCCACCUCAAGCGCAAGUCCAGCAAGGUUAGAAAGUUGCUGGAAUAAGCCCUGCCAAGCUCAGCCACGAACUAGCACACUCCUAUCAAAAGAUCUACCACAAGAGCACCAAAAUUGUAUCAAUACCCUCAAUUUCAGCACUAAAGCUUAAUUCCUCCAAUUCUAAUGUCAAAACUCACCUUUCAAACCUUAAAUCCACAAUUCAGGUGAAGAACACUCUCAAACCAGUAGGGAAAGGUGGAGCAAUAACCUCUGGUCGAAAAUCCAGCUUCCUCCAAAGAUUGAACCAGGAAAACCAAGAAAAACCCAAGUUUCAGCUCUAAUACAGCAGCAGUUUAGAAAAAUAGCAAAUUGACCAUACUAACCUCAAUCAAUUGCGGUCAAAAUAGGCUCCACGAAAUCUCCAAGAAGUCUACUAACCACCAAAUCAAGUUUCGCAGCAAACCGACCUUCGUACGUCACACACGAGCCAAAACGCCAAAGGUCGCUGCUGGAAUUCUGUAGGAAUUGCAAUCCUCAAGGUGGAAAUUGUGAAAUUUGGGUAAAUUGGAGUAUUUUGAGGGACUAGAGUGCAAAAUAUAGCUUCACUGUGAAGGACAGGUGAAAAAGCUUCUCAGGGGUCGAACACAAGCCUUUUAUAAAGAGAAGAGUAGGUCUGAUAAUGUAGCAUACCGGAUUUGUUUUAAUAAAAAGUGAAUAUAAAUAGAAAUAGUGUGAGAUACUAUUUUUAUUGGAUUUAGACAAGUAAAUUAUACGUCAGGAUUGACUUGUGCGGAAAUCGGAGUGAAAAUAGAAGAUNCACUAUUUGUAUUUUGAGACUUAUGAUGUACUACUUUACAUUUUACUUUAGUAGUCUAGCUUCUGUGGUUUCUACUGGUUGAUACAACCUAGCUGUAUAAUUGCUCUGAUAUCUCUAGAUAUUCUCUAUUUAUUGUUCUUUAAUUCGUUAUCGUUGUAGACGCCUUAUAUGUGCAGGCAUAUGGCGGGUCUGGGCACGCACCGGGCGAGCCUACGCAGGGUCCCUGGGCGUGACAGAUAAGCCCUAUGACAAAGGAAUACAAACCUGCUUUCCUCCAGGAACGAGCACUUUCGGGCGCCCGAAACCUACUUCUGGGCGUUCGAAACAUCCAGGCCAUACAAAGUUCCCUCUUCGGUUCCUCCGCCUGCAGUACGAUGCGCCCAAAACCUGGUCCGGCGGACCUCACCUACCACCAGACACGUGUCAGCAUAGUCGAUACUCCCAAAGUGAACAUCCGAACCAUCUGGGCACCCGGAACACAGGAUCUGAAUUGGCUUCUAGUUCAGUACAAUUCAGCACUCAAGUUCUGGGCGACCCAAACCAUAUUCUAGGCGUCCGAAACUGGCAAAACUCCAGUUUUGCUUAUUUGAGUGCUCCAAGUCCAUUUCUGCAUCCCCUUCGUGCAAAAACGAUUACGACUCAGUUCGACACUCUCCAGAUGUGUCGACCAGUCACUAAAACUGAAACCAAUCCGAUACCAAAUCCUCGGGAUACUAGAUUUUAUAUGUGGUGUAUAACAUAUAAUUUUUUUUAAUAUAUGCCAAAAAUUUUAAAAAUUAAAUUAAUUCCAAAAUAUAAAUUAAGAUUUAUAUUUAGAUUUAAAUUUAUGAAUCAAACUUAAAAUCUGAAGUUGAUUUUGAAUCCAUUAUUUGAAUUUAAAUAAUUAUUCAUUUAAUUGGUAGGUUUUUUUUAAAUCAUUCUAUUUAAUUUGCAAACCUGAUUUAUAUAUCUUUCUUCUGUUAACUAUUAAAUUAUUUUUUUAAUAUGUAUGGAAUAUUUUUUUUAUUUUAUCUAGAAUUCUCACUGUCAAUUAGAAAAUAUCUAUCCGUUUUAUAAAUAAUAUAGAAAUAGAUAUUUCCAAGCUCGUUCACUAUGCGUAUGUAUUUCCAAGCUCGUUAUACGAUCCAUAAUAUUUAAUUUGGAGGGGUAAGUAAUAAGAGGAAGGAGCAUGCAUGGGCUGAGUAAUAAUAAUAUUGCUUAAAAAUAAUGAAAAUGUAUGCAUUGGAGAAGUCCAACGUUUGCCUUGUCCCCGCUUAUGGUGUCAUGGUAUAACCACUUUAUCGCCGUUGUCCCCGCAUAUUGGUAGGGAAUAAGGGUCGCUUUGACCUUGGUGCUUGAUAUGUAGUAGUACUAUUUGGAUAAAAAUACUAUCUAAGAUUAAUUAAGUAAUAUAUAUAUAUAUAUAUAUAUAUAUAUAUAUAUAUAUAUAUAUAUGAGAUAUAAUAUUAUAUUAAAUUUUCUCAAAAGCUUCUUAAUUAAUUCUUCAGUGAAACGACUGGAAUUAAAGUGCAAAUUAAUUAUAAUUAAUUUUUACACUAAAACAGAAGCUUCAAAAUUAAUUUUCAUCAAAUAUUAUUUAAUUAUCAAUUAAUUACUGCUAUAAAUGAAGAUAGAAACAAAAACAAAUAGAAAAGUGAAAUGCAAGCAUGCAGAUCUAGAAAAUGAGAGAUAUAUAUAUAGAGGAUCUUAAUUAUUAUUGUACUAAAUUCCGAAAAUAAUUUAAUUAAUCCUUUCUAGGCACACAUUCCGCGCUCCUGCUCCCGAAGCUCUUAUGAAAAUUUAAAAGAGAUAGAAAUUAACGCAUCCACCGCACGAUUGAUCUCUCUCCUCUUUUUAAUUUAAUUCAUUAAUUCGCAACCAAACCACUUGCUUGCAUGCUUUCCACCGGUGUCUCUUUAAUUUCCAUCCGACCUCCUCAAUUAAUUAAUUUAAGCAAUGAUAUUAUAUAUACCACGUUCUCCUACAAAUUAAUGUGCGUACAUGUAUAGGCUAGCUACGCCCACUCUCUAGCUAUGAGCAAGUAAAAUAUAAGGAGUACGUGGAAAAGUAGUUGUUUGGAGUGAUCCCAGUGGGGAAUAUUGCAGGAUGGCAUGCAUGCAAGCUCGAUCUAUGCGAAUAUUUUAAUAUUUUAUGCGUGGUAAUUAUGUUGUUCUUUGUUUGGAGUAGAAGAAGCAAAAGCAUUGGUGAAACUUCUAAAGUGGAGGGAUUAAUUGGCUUCGGCUUUUCACCCUUCCCUCAUCAUUCCCCUCACCGCCCUCUCUCCAUGCAUGCCCUUCAAAAAAUCCCAAGGCAUGCAUAUGCAUGCGCCCUCCAUCCUACGCCCCUUUAUUUAUAUGCCCUCCUCCCUCCCUGCUUAAUUCGCUCUCACAAUUAACGCCCCAGUAGUACUGCUCCACCUAUAUACAUCUCUGAUCUACAUCUCUCUCUAGAUCUCUCUAUACCCCCCUGUGCAGGUGCCGUGGGAUUUGAUGAAGGGCUAGCUAGCUGUUUGAUAUAUAUUUUGAGUACUAUAUAUAUAUUAAUUAGAAGAAGAAGAAUUAACUGUAUUCAAUUGUAGCAAAUUGGAGCUUCUUAAUUUUUCUCUGCGGCCCAUGGGGGCUGAAUCUCAUUUUUGCGUCCUGCUGCAACGAAAAUUUCGUAUAUAUUUUCCUGCUGAAUUUGUACAGGCAGAUCUACUUACUUGCCCAGGCUGCUGUACGUUGCUGAAAGUGAAAGCAAAGGUGGGGCCAAACACGUCCGUCCUUAACCCCAUGAGACCACCCUUGACUAAAUUGUAUGGCUUCUUUCUUUAAUUAAUUUCCCUGCCACACCCACCCAAUAUAUAUAUAUAGCUAGCGGGGUGCAACCGAGAGACAAGGCAAUCAGCCUUAGAUCUCCCCUUCAUGAUAUAUACCUUCUGCACCAAUGGCUUCCUUCCUCCACCAUCCCCACAAAUCCGUACGUAUAGACAAAAUAACAUUCUAGCUAGCUAGUGAAGCCCAUAUAGCUAGCUGACCAUUCGCCUGCUGCAACACUAUAGCCCUCAGUAGCAACAAAUUAACUAUCUAUAAACUAUCUAUAAUACAUUGAUAUUGGUGAUCCUGAGUGUGUUUAUGUAGCUAGAAUAGGACCUAUCUAAAUUGAUGAUCUCGGUCGUAAGGUUUUAUUUUCAGGUCAAUUAUAUAUGAAGAUGGUUUUGUUCACGCCAACGCUUGUGCCGUAGAUGCGAUAAGCGAUAUUGGUGAGGUUCAAUCUGAUGGUGGGCUUUACAUGCAGCUGUAAACCGAUCUCGGAUUGAGCCGCGCCAAUAUCUCUUUCUUUCUCUAGCUACACGUGCGCUUCUGACGUGACGAAUUCAGGUUUGUACUUUCUUACUUCUCCCUCUUUUAUCAAUCUUGCACAAUAGUAUAUUAAAUCAAAUUUUCGUAAUGUAUUGGUUCAUUAAUUAAUAUCGUAGAUAAGUGAAAUAAUUGCUUUUGUUAUAUAUUGCUUUGAAUUGCUUUCUCAGUACUGGAUCUUUAGUUCCAUGCAUAAGUAAAGACCUUACUCCUACACUUUCAUAUAAAUAUUGACUUGAAGGUUAUCUGACAUGGUGCAUAUAUAUAUAUAUAUAUAUAUAUAUAUAUAUAUAUAUAUAUAUAUAUAUAUAUAUAUAUAUAUAUAUAUAUAUAUAUAUAUAUAUAUAUAUAUAAUUAAGGUUUAGGAAAAUAUUUGGUAGUAUACUACAUUGACUGAAAUAUUGUGCUUAAUUAUAAUUACCAUGCAUAAUAUAUAUAACUCUAAAAGAGGAACAGAUACAGGUUGAAACCGCUGUUCACGAGUAUAGUGAUGCGUUUUAAUAGUCUCGCAUACAUAUAGCUGCAUUAAUCCGUAUUAGGUAUGUAUUUCCUGUUAUCUUAUUGUUCGUCUUAUCGCUAUUCUUUAGGAGACACAUGCCAUUCAGUUAUAUAUAUAGCAUCCUACAUUUUUUACAAGAUUAAUUGUCAAAGAUAAGCAGAGUUUCUAAUCGAACUCGCCUUUUCCCUUUAAAUAUAUCGUAUUACUUAAAAUUUUAUGAAUUAAAUUUUUUUCAUAAAUUUUAAAUUAUAUUAUAAGAGAUUAGAAUAAGUUAAAAUAAAAAAUAAUUUGAAGGUAAUAAGAAAGGUAUAGAGAAAGAUCCGAGAGAUUAAUUACAUCCAGCAAUGAAAAUUAGAUCAAAAUCUAAAUCAAUAGUAGAACAAAACUAUAUAAAUUGAGCUUGGAAUAUCGUUGAAAAAAGUUGAGCAAAAAUAAUUUAGAGGGAUGAAAAUUUGAUAAAACUAAACUAAAAUAGUAAAAGAGAAAAAUACAGUAUAUUACUAACUGAAUAAAAGAAUAAUUUGCGAGAUUUAGAUCAAAUCCUGUCACCAAACCAAAAUAUAUAAUAAAUGAAAAGAUAAAUGGAUUUUAAUUUAGAGAUUAGAGAGAUCCACACUGUUUCUCUUUUUUAUUGUUUUUAUUUCUCUUUUCUUUUUUGGCGGAAAGAUAUAUAUCCAUACCUGUAUAAAAGAUUAUAUUAAUUAAAAAUUAGAUGAAAAUUUGUAUAAAAAUAGUAAAACGAGCAUUUGCAAUCAAAUUUGACAAAUCUAGAUUUGUAGAUCGAUGUACGAAAAGGAGUUUACGAAGAUCAAAAUUUGUAUCAAACCAAAACAAUAAGUAUUAGAUGAAAGAAAACACUAAAGAUAGGAAAAUAGAAAUUUUGUGCAACGGAUCAUAAACAAACAAUAAUAACAAAUCACUGUUUGCCGUCCCUCAAAAUAGAGUUUCCAAAUCAAGACCUUAAUCCCUUACUAUAUUAUACAUAUCCAAUAUGUAGCUAUGUGGUGUGUCCACAUUGGCGGGUUUUAAUUUAACCCGAUCCACUUAAGAUGUGGAUUGGAAUUUAUCCUAAUAAGUUUAGGAUAAGAAUAAAUCAUAUGUUUCUUAUUAGUUAAAAAACGUAUCUACUAGUGGAUAUCUAUUAUAUGUUAAUAGAUAUUCUGAUCCUUAUCCUAAUCUAUAUGAGAUUCAGGAUAUUUAGGGGUUCCGUUCUUCUAUAUAUACGCCCCCUUUCCUCUCCGGUAAAAGAGACAAUCGCAUACGAUGAACCCAUGAAAUAUCUUCCUUAUUCUCUCUCUUCUUCCUCUCUAGGAUUUCCACUACGUUCCCGGGGUUUCGGAGUGUGGACAUAGAAGAGGACUCUAGUAGCCCUCUUCGAUUGGCAUCCGUCGCAUCAGAUCCGAAAUUUGGAUCCGUGGCGUAAGGCGUACGCGUAGGAGAAGGCGAGAAACGUGGGAGAUCCAGAAGCAUCGAGACAAGGACGAUGCAAGAAGGCUUGUAAAACAAGCAAUCCGAUCCGAUUCGGGUUCCCGGAUACGUUGGCUAUCCGGUUUGUAAGUUUCCACUGUCCUAUUAUUUCCAACAAUUGGUAUCAGAGCCUGCAUGCUUGUUUUCGCCUUAUGAUCAUGUCUGUGAUGUUUUUAAGAUCGCAUUAGUUGAUCAAUUUUUUUGUAGAUUGGUUCUACAAUUUUUUAUUCAGUUUCUAUGUGAAAUCAAUUUAAAAGGAAAAGAAAAAUUAAAUUAGUUUUAAUUUUUUCUUUAAAUUGAUCAGGACAUGUGAUUUUUUUUAAUGUAUGUUAUAAUCUUUUCGUGCUUUAAAAAUAAUAAUGAUAAUAAUAAAAUCGCUGUUUUCGACCAAAGGGGGCUCAACGCGACCCGCUGCGGACGGUGGCGUACACCGCGCGGGCCCGGCCCGCUGCAGACGANGGCGCGCUGUGGGCGCAGUCUGCACCCGCGCGCACCCACUAGGGCCCGGCCCGCUGUAGGUGCGGUCUGCACCCGCGUGCACCCACGCGGGCCUGGACUGCUGCGGGAGCAGGGAGCAACCGCGCGCACCGCGCAAGUCCUGCCCGCUGCGUGCGCAGCCUGCACCCACGGGCACAGCACGGGCCCGGCCCGCUGCGGGCGCGGGCGAGCACCUGAUAGCAGUGAGUGGGGCUUGCGGGCCUGGCCCAGUCCGCCGCGAGCUGCGGGCGGGUUUGCAGGCCCGACCCGGCCUGCUGCGCGCAGGGAAGUGACCCUGUGUGCCCGGCCCGGCUCGCAGCGCAGCGUAUUUUUUUUAAAUAUAUUUUUUAUUUCCUACGUGGUUUUUUUUUGGGAUAUAUAUAUAUAUUUUUUGCUUGUAUGCCAUGCAUGUGUUGUUUGUUUAAUCUAUCCUAUGUGGAUGUUUUUUUUUCGCUUAUGCAGCGUGUGAUUGUAUAAAAUCUUUUGGCAUAUAAGUACUUAUGUUAUUUCUGUGUUCUUUCAACAAAAUUUAAUUUUGGAAAAACGGGUUCGAUGUGUGCAGUAUUCCUGUAGAACAUUCCUUUUUCUGAUGUACAUCUUGUAGUGAUGUAGUAGGUUUUAAUUAUGCAAAAGUGAUGUAGUAAUUAAGGCCAUGUAAAGGAAUGUGUUUUGCGCAGCGUCGACGUUUUUCAAAUUAAAUUUUGGCAUAAGUACUUAAUUUUUAUCUGUGUGAUGAUAAUAUGAGAUAUGUUCUUAUUAAAUAAAUAUUUUUCAAGAAAAGGAUGUGUUCUUCAAAAUGGAUGAGUUCCAACUUUUGGAUAAGUUUCAAAAUUAAUAGAAAAUUAAUAAGAUUGUAAUAUUUUGAACCGACACUGGGUGAUGAUUACAAGCAUAGCGAAGUUUUCGAUCCCGUUGUGUCGAGAAUAAUGUUUCAAUCUUAUUAAUUUUUUUUUGGAAUAUGUGCCUAAUGUCCAAACCUAUUUUUUUGAAUGUAGUGAAAUGACUUCCAAAAACAUCAUAGUCGAUCUCACCAGGGGUGAUAAGCUAGAUGGAAAGAACUAUGAUAUUUGGCAUAGGAAAAUGCAAUACCUGCUUAAUGAACAAGGGGUUCUUGAAACCCUUUCUGUCAAAAGAGUCAUGCCUGCCGAAGGCACAACUUCUGAGCAUGAAAAAGAGAUCUAUAAUAAAUGGAUUAAGGAGGAUCAAACUGCUCGGUACACUAUAUUGUGUGCCAUGCAAGAUGACCUCAUUGGACAGUUUGAGAUCUUUGAAACUGCCAAGGACAUAUGGGACAAUUUGAAGAUUACUGUUGGUCAAACUUCAUCUACGAGGCUACGUGCCUUAAAUCUCAAGUUUCUACAGUAUAUUAAAGACCCGAAAUAUUUAAUGGCUGAGUACCUCCGUGUGAUGAGCACCAUAAUUCGGGACCUUAAAAUUACUGAAAACGAGCUCAAUAAUGAGUAACAAUAAGUUCUAGCAGUGAUUUGUUCAUUGCUUGAUCCUGAAUGGUCCCAGAUGAAGUUUCUGAUGACGCAUAAUGAGAACAUUAAAACGUUUAAUGACAUCUCGCGUCAUCUCGAGUUCGAGGCAGAGCGCUUGGAAGCGAAUCGUUCUGUCGCUCUUGUUGCACGCUCCGAGAAGCGCAGUGGGAUCGCACCCAAACGCAAAAAGCAUCACAACAAUGGAGCGCAAAAGAAACGAAAUCGAGCUCCCUGUGGUGGAGUUGAAAAGCUUUGUAGAGCCAUUUUGACAGAGAUUGCCUCGAUAUUUUCUUUCAUUGUACUUUAUUUGGAUAUGGUACAUUAGUUGAUGGCUUCUUUAAAUUAGAUUUGGAGGAUGAUUCGUUUGCAUUUGCUUCUUCUUUUUCUUCUUCUUCUUCUAAUCUCUGUGAAGAAUCCGUUAAAUAGCAUGCCAGAUUAGGCCAUAUAGGUCAAGAAAGAAUGAAUAGACUGGCUCGAGAAGGCCUUUUGGGGUCUCUCGCCAAAGUUGACCUAUCUGUAUGCGAGCCUUGUCUGGCUGGGAAGGCAAGUAGAAAGCCUUUCGGUAAGGCUACUCGUGCCUCUCAUAUUUUAGAGCUAAUCCACUCAGACAUUUGUGGGCCAAUGAAUGUGAGGGCCCGGCUUGGUGCUGGCUAUUUUCUCACAUUCAUUGAUGAUUAUUCCAGUUAUGGAUAUGUGUAUUUGCUUUCUCGCUGAUCUGAAGCUUUAGAUUGCUUCAAGCAUUUUGUUGCAGAGGCUGAGAAUCAAAUAGAAAAAAGUAUAAAGGUGCUUCGCACUGACCGAAGUCGUGAGUACUUGUCUGAUCAGUUCAAGACUUAUUGUGAGCAAAAGGGCAUUAGUAGACAGCUCACUAUUCCUGGUACUCCGCAACAAAAUGGCGUUGCAGAGUGAAGGAACCGUACUCUAUUAGACAUGGUUAGGUCGAUAAUGGCGCAAGUGCAACUUUCCAUAAAUUUUUGGGGAGAUGCUNUAAAACUCUACCUUUACGUCGUGAUUCACAUUGUGAGCAAUUUUCCAAAAUCUUCGAAAUCUUGAAUUCUUCAAUCUUCAUCAAUCAGCUUCGAUCCUUCAAGACUACGACUCACUUCACGAAACUUGCCAAUACAAAGUUCUUAACACUUAUGACGCACAAUGAGAACAUUAAAAUAUUUAAUGACAUCUCGCGUCAUCUCGAGCUCGAGGCAGAGCGCUUGGAAGCGAAUCGUUCUGUCGCUCUUGUUGCACGCUCCGAGAAGCGCAGUGGGAUCGCACCCAACCGCAAAAAGCAUCACAACAAUGGAGCGCAGAAGAAACGAAAUCGAGCUCCCUGUGGUGGAGUUGAAAAGCUUUGUAGAGCCAUUUUGACAGAGAUUGCCUCGAUAUUUUCUUUCAUUGUACUUUAUUUGGAUAUGAUACAUUAGUUGAUGGCUUCUUUAAAUUAGAUUUGGAGGAUGAUUCGUUUGCAUUUGCUUCUUCUUCUUCUUCUUCUUCUUCUUCUUCUUCUAAUCUCUGUGAAGAAUCCGUUAAAUGGCAUGCCAGAUUAGGCCAUAUAGGUCAAGAAAGAAUGAACAGACUGGCUCGAGAAGGCCUUUUGGGGUCUCUCGCCAAAGUUGACCUAUCUGUGUACGAGCCUUGUCUGGCUGGAAAGGCAAGUAGAAAGCCUUUCGGUAAGGCUACUCGUGCCUCUCAUAUUUUAGAGCUAAUCCACUCAGACAUUUGUGGGCCAAUGAAUGUGAGGGCCCGGCUUGGUGCUGGCUAUUUUCUCACAUUCAUUGAUGAUUAUUUCAGUUAUGGAUAUGUGUAUUUGCUUUCUCGCUGAUCUGAAGCUUUAGAUUGCUUCAAGCAUUUUGUUGUAGAGGCUGAGAAUCAAAUAGAAAAAAGUAUAAAGGUGCUUCGCACUAACCGAAGUCGUGAGUACUUAUCUGAUCAGUUCAAGACUUAUUGUGAGCAAAAGGGCAUUAGUAGACAGCUCACUAUUCCUGGUACUCCGCAACAAAAUGGUGUUGCAGAGCGAAGGAACCGUACUCUAUUAGACAUGGUUAGGUCAAUGAUGGCGCAAGUGCAACUUUCCAUAAAUUUUUGGGGAGAUGCACUUUUGACUGCAGCCUACAUCCUUAAUCGAGUUCCUAGCAAAUCAGUGCCUACUACCCCAUAUGAGUUGUGGAACGGUAGAAAGCCAAGUUUACACUACUUACGCCCUUGGGGUUCAGCUGGAUAUGUUCACAGCCUCUCACAUAAAUUCGGGAAACUCGGCUCUAGAGCGAGCAAGCAUGUGUUCAUCAGAUACUCUGAAAAUUCGAAGGGCUAUGUGAUGUAUGGUGUACACCCAGAUGGUGGUAUGACCGAGAUUGAGUCUCGUGAUGUGGAAUUCCUAAAAGGGGAUUUUCCAAGCAUUGGUGAAAUGCGAAGAGAUGUCGCAUUGUAUGAGUUACAGGACGACGCUACCCUAUCUGCUAUUGAGGGUGAUCGAUCACUUCCCGAAGUCGCUGAAGGAAGUGGUGGCGAUCCUCCGGCUAGUGGGAGUGUUUCCUUGAAUGAGAGCAUACCCUUGGAAGUCGGCAGUUCAGACCCUCCAUUACGUAGAAGUGAACGUGGACAUAUUCCCCAUCGACAUUUUGAAAUCGAAAGGGAUAUUUUCAUGUGCACUCCGCUCGAUGAUGAUGAACCUGCUUUUUAUAAAAAAGCACUACAGACGUCAACUGGCAGUGAGUGGAUGGCUGCUAUGAAAGAUAAGAUGGACUCCAUGAGCAAGAACCAAGUAUGGGAAUUAGUUGACCUUCCGCCUGGGCACAAGUCUAUUGGAAAUAAAUGGUUUUUAAAAUUAAGCGCAAGGCAGAUGGAUCAAUCGAUAAAUACAAGGCUCGGCUCGUGGCCAAGGGUUACGCUUAGAGGCAAGGGGUAGAUUACAACGAGACGUUUGCUCCCGUUGUGCGAUUUGCCUCUGUUCGUUUGAUUCUAGCCUUAGUGGCACACCUAGAUUUGGAAUUGUUCCAAACGGAUGUCAAGACAGCUUUUCUCAAUGGAGAAUUAGUGGAGGAGAUCUAUAUGGAUCAACCUGAGGGUUUUGUACUCAAAGGUCAAGAAAAUAAAGUUUGUCGUCUUAAAAGAUCCAUCUAUGGUCUCAAGCAGUCGUCGAGACAAUGGUAUUUCAGGUUUCAUGAAGCCAUUACCUCUAUCGGUAUGUCCAUGAUAGAGGAGGACCACUGUGUAUAUGUCAAGAAGACAAAGAAUGAGAUUUUGUUUCUCUCUCUAUACGUCGACGAUAUACUAUUGGCUGGAAAUGAUAUGGAGUUAAUCAACACCACUAAGGAGUGGUUGUCUCUCAAUUUUGAAAUGAAAGACAUGGGUGAGGCGAGCUAUGUGCUCGGAGUAAAGGUCAUCCGUGAUCACUCUAGAAGGCUUCUUGGUUUGUCUCAAGAAUCUUAUAUUAAAAAGAUUCUAGAGCGUUUUAGGAUGUAUCAUUGUAAACCCAUUGAUACUCCAAUGGAGAAGAAUCAAACUCUGAGUCUUGAUCAGUGCCCUAAAACGGAUAAAGAAAAGGUGCAAAUGAGUAGGGUUCCUUAUGCGAGUGCAAUUAGCAGCUUGAUGUCCGCUAUGAUGUGUACUCGAUCUGACAUUUGCUUCGCUGUUGGUUUGGUAAGUCGUUACCAGAGCAACCCAGGACCCAUUCAUUGGCAAGCAGUUAAGAGAAUCCUUCGAUAUUUAAAAGAAACCAGUGAUCUCGUCCUAUGCUUUCAAGAUAGGGACUUGAUUUAAAGGAUAUAGCGAUACUAGUUAUGGCGAUGAGUGCAGGUCCACCUCAGGCUAUGUGUUUGGAGGCGGCGCAAUUUCCUAGUAUAGUAAGAAGCAAGGCUGCGUUACCUUGUCUACUAUGGAAGCGAAGUAUGUUGCUUGAUCAGCAGCCGUUUUAGGAGGCUGUUUGGCUGAGGAGAUUUCUUUAGUGAGUCGACUUUGUGAUUCGAGUUGAUGAACCUGUUGAGAUAUUCUCUGACAGCAUAGCUGCCAUGGAGUAUGUGAACGACUCCGAGUAUCAUGGCAGGACCAAGCAUAUUGAUAUCCAUUUUCACUACAUUCAAGAGAUGAUUAGGCUAGGCGAGGUCGUUCUUAGACAUAUCUCCACCACUAGGAUGGUGGCUGAUCCGUUGACCAAGCCGAUAGCUAGGGAUACAUUCCAGACCCACAUUAGGAGUUUGGGUCUUCGUAGGUUUUGAUAUAUGGACAUUAUUUUGUAUCUUACGCUUUAUUAUGAAAAUAUAUUUUUUUCCUUUUAAUGAGAUAGCAUAAUUGAUAUUAGUAGGCACAUAUUCGUUAAGUCACCAGGCUCAGAUCAGCCCACUCACACGGGUGAUUGCCCUGGCACCUAGGUGGUGAGCAGGAUGAGACUAGAUAAUCAUAUUACACUUUAGUAGUUGUAAUAUGAUUAUUUUGUUCAUAUAUGUUAUGAAUGAAGUGUUGAUAUAAUUUAAAGUCGUCUUAAUUAGUUUAAGAUGAGACUCUAGAGAGUUGGAUAUGAAAUUUUUUGUGGAAUUUCAUAUCGAGCCUGUUUAGUAGCCGAACCUAAGUACUCAGCUUAGAGAGAUGACUUGAGUUGUGGUGGUUAGAUACCUUAGUUGUACCUAGACCAAGGUUCGUAUGGCGUUUUAGAGCGUGACAUGGCCCAUUGACUGGGAGCUCCGCCAUAGCGUACAUAUCAUACUGUAUGUGCUUGUCGACCAGUUAGCAAAGUGACAUAAGUUCUUCCCUCCAUGUCACUGUGUGAGUACUAACCCUUUUGUGCCCUUGACUUAGAACUACAUUAUGAAGUGGAGAUCCAAAAUAACUAACUUAGUGUGUAUCUCAGGGUCAUGAGAAAAUACGAUCUCGCGGAGCAUGUCUAGUAAAGUGCUUGGACCAAUACGGAUUAACGUAAGGGGCUGAGGAAGAUGUUUCGAUAACACACCACGUAAGUCUUGUGACUCAUUGCCCGGGCGGUUAUCUCGGUUAUGUUACUUGAGAUAAUCACGAGUACGAGAAAUAACGGUGGGGUUGAGCCCUGUCAUUACAGGAGAGGAACUUUGUGAUACUUGAUUUAGUGUGUGUUGGAACGUCUAAGGCAUAGACGAAUUAAGUCAGUGAUGUGCUAUGUUAGUACGGUGGUGACUUAAUAUAGCACUCUUGCAUGUGUUUCUUUCGUCAGGUCGCACGCUCCAUUAUCCGUAUGAAGAGAUGAAUGAAUAAGAGAGAAUUGGCCAAUGUGGCCAAGUGGGAGAUUGUAGCUAUGUGGUGUGUCCACAUUGGCGGGUUUUAAUUUAACCCGAUCCACUUAAGAUGUGGAUUGGAAUUUAUCCUAAUAAGUUAAGGAUAAGAAUAAAUCAUAUGUUUCUUAUUAGUUAAAAAACGUAUCUACUAGUGGAUAUCUAUUAUAGGUUAAUAGAUAUCCUGAUACUUAUCCUAAUCUAUAUGAGAUUCAGGAUAUUUAGGGGUUCCUAUAUAUACGCCCCCUUUCCUCUCCAGUAAAAGAGACAAUCGCAUACGAUCAAAUUCGUAAGAACCCACAAAAUAUCUUCCUUAUUCUCUCUCUCGUCCUCCUCUCUAGGAUUUCCACCUACGUUCCCGGGGUUUUGGAGUGUGGAUAUAGAAGAGGGCUCUGGUAGCCCUCUUCGAUUGGCAUCCGUCGCAUCAGAUCCGCAUCCGAUCCGUGGCGUAAGGCAUAUGCGUAGGAGAAGGCGAGAAACGUGGGAGAUCCAGAAGCAUCGAGACAAGGACGAUCCAAGAAGGCUUGUAAAACAAGCAAUCCAAUCCGAUUUGGGUUCCCGGAUACGCUGGCUAUCCGGUUUGUAAGUUUCCGCUGCCCUAUUAUUUCCAACACAAUAAAUAUACAAUGAAUUUCUCUUUUAUCUAGUUUCUUUCUUUUAAGCUUUGGAAUCUUUACAAUAACUGAUAUCCCUAAACCUUUAAAUAAUUUGAAUUAGGGUUUCUUCCUUUAAAAAUUUCAUAAGUAGCUUUAUUGCUCCUUUUCGUGGGGACUUCAUAAUUCAAUAAAAAACAAGCCCUUAAUAAGGUUUCACACAAAAUCCAUCUCCAAAACCCAAGUUAAAAAGAAUAACAUCAACUAUUUCCAUUAGUUUUCUAUUUUUUUCUUUUUCUACCUUUGGCCAUUAUGAUGACUGCAAGAGCAUCAACCUUUCCUGUAGUGCACUGAACUUUAGCAAAUUGUAAGGUUCCAGUGUCAGAAUAGUGUUUUGAGCUAUUCCUGGUGUUUUCGGGGGUCGUAGGCUGUGUUCCAACCUAUUACUCGCGUCUUGAGAUUCGUGAGUGGGUACUUAGCACCAAAAUCUGCAAACUGCAGGUUUUGGGGUGCUGGGUACCGAUACCACAGUGGGGUACCGGAACCUCGUCGCUUGACCGAGAGGGGUGCUCUCGGGUUUGAGCUCGGGAAGGCUGAGUACCGGUACUGACUCAGCCGAGUACCAGUACUGGGCCGGGUACUGGUACUGCAUUACGCGGGUACCAGUACACCAUGGUUUACCUGCCUGGCAGAGGCUCGGGUUUGCGGGUGUGGCUGCCGGGUACCGGUACUCCCCUUCGAGUACCGGUACGCAGUGUGAAAAUUGUACUUCGUGCAGUUUGUUAUUUUCGGUAUUUUGAGGGGCUUUUUGGGGAUUGUUGCUUGGUUAUAAAUACCCCAACAUCCCCAUGAGUGUUUCCUUGAGCUGAGAACAAGAGAAGAAGUAGUGAGUCUCCUUCUCUUCCUCUCUCUCUCUCUAGAUUUUUUCUCUUUUGUUAGAGAUUUUAUGGAUUGAUCUCCCUUUCUUCUCCUCUUCCAUGGGUGGAUGAUCUUGGACCGUGGAGAAGCUUUGGAGUUGAAGGUUUGAGCUUGGUUGAGGAAUUAUCUCCAACCCUAACACCAACUUAGCUUGGUUUGGAGCUCUAAAGAAGGUUAGUAGCUUGAUUACUUCCUUGGCUUGUGAUUUUGGAGAGCAUUUGGAGUUUAACCUAGUUAUUUGGAAACUAGGGUUUCAUUUUGGGGUUUUUCUUGUUUGAGCCUUUGAAGCUUAAUUGUUGGUUUCAAUACUUCCUUUUAGGUUGGAAUUGAAGCAUCCUAAGUUUUUCCUCAUUUAAGGUAUUUUCUACCUAUUUAUGGGUUUAUUUUUUAGGAAUUUUGUGGGGUAUGCGUUUGAAGCCUCUAACCCUCUUGGAAUUUUUGUUAGGGAGCUAGAAGGCUAGUGGACAACCUCAUUCGUGCAAACGAAGGGAUUUUGAGGGGUAUCCGAUGGGUUUGACCUUACCAAAAUAGGUGAACUCCUCCUAUGUCAUUUUCUAUGUUGUAAAAUAAGAAAUCAUGCAUAUUUAUGCUAGUCGUAGUCUAAAUGAAUUUUUGAAUGCUUAAGAUAUACAUGUUACAUGUCAAGAAUAUAUCCUCUAUAUAGUAGAGUGAGAAUUGCAUAUAGAACUUGUAUGUAAAAAGAUAUCCUUCAUGCCAUGUUGGGAAGCAUAUGGUGAUUAGUGAAAUGACAAGUCUUACAUACUCAUGGACUAAUGAAUAUUAUACUUGACAUAGUAAACAUGAACGUCAUGUAGUGACAUUUGACUUAGUAAAUGACUAAACUUCUACAAUGUGAUAUCGUGUUAGACCUUUGGGUCGUUAGUGCUUAUUCCAUGUUUUAGACAUGAUGACCGAGGAUUGGAUACUGAUGAUCAUGCUUGCUGGCUACUGUGCUCAUUCGCACAAGCUUGUGAGGGUCGCUCCUUACAAGCCGGCACUCCGGAGUUAGCCUACGCGACAUAAGCUCACCCGUGCGGGAUUGGGUGCCUAAGUGGAUCGCCGUGGGGAGGCUCAUUCCUAGAGGGGGGAUGUUGACUACCACGGGGCCAUUAGACGGUGCAAGCCGGACUACACUUGUGUAGAUUCUAAUUGAAUUGAACAAUGACAUUUAAAGGUAUAAUAUGACUGACUAUCACUACUAGAUAGUGUAUGAUAGUUGGACUCGUUGGAUAGUGUAUGAUAGUUGGACUCGUUGGACAUGCACAUUCAUGAUAGAAUAGCCGCAUUAACUGUUAAACAUCAUGUUAAAUUGGAGGCAUAGUAGCUUAGUGGAUUAUUACUUGUUUAGAAAUCAUGUUAUCUCUUUAAUCAUGAUUAUAUAUACUACUCAUGCCUCGAUGACCUAGCGGUGUAUUUCGCUGAUGUCGGUGGCUUACCCACUAGGAACUAUUGACUAAUAGUUCUCAUUCCCAUUGUGUUGUUGUUUUUGCUUACAGAGCCAUCCACGUCGGAAGAGGCUAGGGACCGCGGCAAGAAGGUCGCGUCUAGCUAAACUAGCUCGGAGAUUCUGCUAGGUGGUCAUCUCUUCUUUUAUAUUAGUUUGAGAGAGAUGUUUUGUACCGAUGUAUAGAGACCACCCUCUUUGUAUUUAGUUCUAUGUUAUGUGUAUUCCGAGUCGUAUGUAUUAUCUUUGUGGAUUAUUAUAGUUGUUUAGUUUUACUUUCCUAAACUUGUCUCUAGAGAAUAGUUAUGUACAUGCUCUGAUAUCAUGCUAGAUGUUCUUAAAUUCUUGUUUUAUUUUUUUAUCGUAUUAUUGUAGACGCCUUAUAUGUUAUUGGCAUAUGGCGGGUCUGGGCACGUACUGGGUAGGCUUCCGCUAGGGCCCGGGCAUGACAUUUCCACCACUGGAGGCCUCUCUGCAGACAUAUCUAUAUGUUGCCUUAGCGCAGGCGGUUUUUUUAGUGGUUACAGGACGAGCAACGGGCAUCUCGGUCGAGUGGAGCAGCUAGGUCUCGUAACCAUUUGUUGGCACCAUAAAAGUAGCACCACGUGGUAGAGCGAUCCGCGCCAAGUGAGCAGAGUGGCAAGACAUAAAGCAACAUGUGGUACACCCGGAGUUAGAAGCCACAUGCCUAAAAUGGAAAGGCGGCUCGGGUGGGAUGCAGUUGAAGACGUGGAGGAAGGAGUUCGUGGCCAACAAGAAAUCGGCCGAAGCAUAACUCGAUAAAAAGUGGCCGAAUAAACCUCCACGAUGGUAUUAACUCAAUAAUGGCAGGUAGGGUUAUAAAUAAGAAAAAGCGCGCUUGUAAGAGGGGUCCUUCACAUGAGCAAGAGACCAAUGCAAAUUUAAAUUUCUUUUUUUCCGGCAUUUACAGCUUUUUAGGAGUUAGUUUCAAUAGUUAGUAGAUUUUCUUUUUUAGUUGUAGUAGAUUUUCUUGUUAAUUUCCUGUAGUUAAGAGCAUGGUGGAGUAGGAAAUUAUCUCUAUAACAACUCUUGCACCCCUACUUUAUCCUUUUUUCGAUAAAUACAAACCACUCGACUCAUUCAACCGAGUUUGUGAAUAGUUGCAAAAGAAUUAAUUUGGUUGAGCCAAUCCCUCCUGAACCGAAUCACUUAAUUUGUCAAUGGCGUACCCAAGGGUCAUCUCAGGAGCUGAUUCACAUUCUGAGGAGGAAUUUGAUCUGGUCAAUGCUUUGCUCUGGUCUGUGUCGCCCAGCAUUUGGUUCCUAUCACAGCAAUUUUUGGCAUGCCCGGUGGGACCUGCUUAGGUACAUUCCAAUCUCUCUUAGAUGACUUUUGACAAUAUGAUGAACCUUCGAAACAGGGCCAUUCCCAAACCCUCAAGGAAUGACCAGACCGAUAGCUCCAAAAAUGCAAGUGAGCAUCAGACAGCAUUGCAGUCAGGAGGUGAGAGUAGUGGGCAUUCAACUCAUCCAGAGCUAAGUUAGGAACUCGGGCAAAUGACUCGAGUCCUACAUACUCUAGAUCAGAACAGUCACCAAAGUACCGCCCGUUUAGACGCGGUGUUGGCCGUCAUCACAGCCUCCAACAAAAACAUAGCUCGUAUUGGGCAAUUGUUGGCCUAGAACGAGCAACCAUAUGGGGGUCCACAAAAAUCCCUAGCCAUGCUGGUGCAACAAAAUUUUGUUGCGCCGGCAGGCCUGCAGGCACAACCCCAUAUGGCACAUUUUCAGGCUGCCUAGAGGUCGGCAAACAUAAAUGCCAACCCACAAUCGAAAACCACCUCCCUUACCUGUCUAUCAACCCCAAAACAAGGGUAUGAGGGCUGGAGGGCAAGGCCCCAAUGUAGCACAGCGACUUAACCCUGCAGUGCAUAAUUACAUGCCACCUGCAGGGCCAAAAAAAAUUCUGGCCUCAGCUUCCACCCCGAUAGCAGAGAACAAUUAGCUGUGUAUGCUCAAAUAGAGGUGGUGAUCUGAAACACGUUCGGUGUAGAGACAAGGUCGGUGAUGUGGCCCGUAUUUAGGUCCCUGUACCCAGCUAAUACGGAUGCGGAACAUCUAUAUCUGGCAAAUUGGAAGAUGUAGAAGUUCGACAAAUUCUCGGGUGAAUACGGUAGAGCAUGUCGUUCAGUUCACGGCCCAAUGUAGAGAAGCGGCCGCUAACCCAUUCUUGAAACUUUGCUUGUUUAACAUGUCGUUAACCAAGACGGUGUUUACAUAAUACACAAGCUUACCUGCUAAUUCCAUCCGAGAUUGGGACGAAUUGGAGUGUAUGUUUACGAGCCGUUUUAUAGAUCAGAAUUUGAAUUAUCAUUGGCCGAUCUAUACAGAUAGAAGUCAGGAGAAACGGUCAAAAAGUACUUGAACCAUUUCAAAACGGCCAGAAACCAGUGCUUUGUGAGAAUGUCAUAAUCUGAGUUUGCGACAAUAGCGUUUAAUGGUUUGCAUUUUAAAAUAAAGAACCAUUCUAAAGAUAAGUAUUUUCCUAACAUGUUUGAUCUGGGUGUUCGCGUCGUCCAAUAUGAGCAAUUCCGAAAGGAACAUGAGGGUGAUCAGCCGUGUUAGAGCAGAAACAAAGAAUGAAAUAAAUAGAAAGAGAAAAAUAUGUCUCUUUCAUUGAAGAGGGAUCGACAUGAGAUGAGCCGAACAACUCUAGCGAGUCCAAAGACUCGACUGAUAAAGCCGAGUUGUACGCGGUGGAGAUGGUGAAGAAUCGUGAGCCUUACAAGUGUGCACUACGUAAGCCAACUAAAGCUAAUGAAUCUAAAGCACGAAUUGCGACAUACACUUAGUCGUUCGACGUUGCCAAAAUUGACCAGAUAUUUGAUCGGUUGUAUAAAAACGGAAGGAUCAAGCUUCAAGAGGAUCAAACGCUACCUUCUAGGGAAGAAUUAAAGAAAAGAAAGUAUUGUAAGUUGCACCAUUCAUGGAACCACAGGACUAAUGACGACACGGCCUUUAAGAGGCAAAUACAAAAGGAAAUAAAUGAAGGUUGCCUAGUUUUUGCCGACCAAGAAAAUAAUAAUAAAAUGAAAAUUGACCAAAACCCAUUUUCUACGCAGGUUAACAUGGUGGACGUUAAGGGAAGAAGCUUCUUUAGGAGGACAAAUUAUAGGAGGAAGUGGCUAAGACGAGAAGAAUGUUUUGGCUCUGCAUCAGGUGCAAAGCCAAAAUGAGACACCAAGAUUGGAAAGUAACCUGCGUGAGAAGAAGGCAUAUGGGAAUGGAAGGAGCUCAUGGCCUUCCCUGAGGAAUAAGAGGACAUAUUCGAGGCCAUCGGUCACUCCAACGAAUGUUCAGAGGAGGCUUCCAAUGACUUCGAGGAAGAAGUGAACUCCAGGAAGGAUUGAAAGGACCUACCGAUCUAGAAGGUCAUGAACGAGUACUAUCAGACAAAGGAGAGUACUAUCCAAGAAGGUUAUCCAAGAUAACCUUUCGGCACUUAGCAAAUGAACCAGGGGUAUCGACCCAUAUGGAACCAGUAUCCACAGCUGAGAUCCAAACUAGAAUUUGAAGGUAUGACCGAAGGAGACAUAGAAGUCUCCGGUCUGAGACUAGUGAAUGAGUUCAGUAUCUAGCCAUGGCCGAGGCCAUCAGAAAGAAGAAGAUCCUGAGAGAACACCUCAGGAUGGUAAAGACGCCGGCAAAUAUAUGGUUCAUGACAAGGCCACCGGCCAGGUGGUAUAGGCUGGUUCUAACAAAAACACAAGAACGGCGGCAACAAAGGAUGUAGGCCAAGAUGAGACACCACUAGGAGAAAGCGAAAGGGAUGAGACCAAACACGUGAAAAUGGCCUACGCAGCAGUUGUUUUCUCAGCUUAUGAAGAAUGAUGAUGAGGUGGGCUGUUUAAAUCCCUUGCCAUGGCUGAAAUCCCAAGUAAAGCAGUCGGCUACGAAAGAGCCGAUGAAAAAAGUCAUGCACAAGGAGCUGGGGGAGAAGAUCGCUUCUCUAGAGACCAUUAUCAAACGAGAGCGAUGGCCACCCAAGGAGAGAGAGAUUAGGCCGAAGAGUGAAUUUUCGGCUGAAGUGGCAAGAGGGUCCUAUGAGAAAAAAUAGAGGACCGGAGAAGUUGCAACCGAAGAAAGUUUGGCUGACGUGGGCAUGGUGUACGCGUUGCCAUACUCGUUCCAGACAUAGUCAGAAGAGGCUGAGAAGCAGCCUCGAUAUGAAGAGGAGCUAGCCGUGGCCUAGCUCCAGCUCGAGAACGUCAAGGUGGCCGAUGCAGUGGUGUUCAAAAAGCCAUCGGCUCUACAAACCAGGGUUGUCAGGCCUUUGUACAUCAGGCCCUUAAUUGUAACGACCUAACCCACUAGCGUUGGGACGAACCACCAGCCCAAAAUGCUUAAGCCCAGUUAUUAUUACUAGUGUCUAAGUCUCUUAUAUACCCAAUCACAUCCCCAUUCCUAUCUGAUGUAGAAUUAUUGGGGUGUGACAGCCUCCCCCUGUUAAGGCCCUAACGUCCUCGUCGGUCCAAUCACACACUCAGCCCAAGAUCACGAGGCGAUGUGAGACUCGUUUCGCUAACCUUGUCAUCCAGACCCUAGCAUAGCCGGUGAUGAUGUCAUUCAAACUCCGGCAUAGCAUAUCACCUUGUCUUUCAGACCCUGGCUCAGCCGAGACUCGCCACACAUUUCCAGCUAGUGAACCUGGCUCUGAUACCAAAUGUAACGAUCUAGCCCACUAGCAACAAUAACUCGUUGGGCCCAACCACCAGCCCAAAAUGCUUAAGCCCAGUUAUUAUUACUAGUGUCUAAGUCUCUUAUAUACCCAAUCACAUACCCAUUCCUAUCUUAUGUGGAAUUAUUGGGGUGUGACAUUAAUAGAGGGAAGGCACUUUGGCCGAGUAAUAAUAGACAGUAAGGCUUUGGUGAACGUUAUGCCUACGCAUUUUUCAAGAAAUUGGGUAAGAAUGAAGACAAGCUCAAGCCCACCGAUACAACCAUGAUCGACUUCACAGGAAGCGGUCAGCAGGCGUAGGGUGUACUAACAAUCGAACUGACGGUUGGAUCCAUCUCCGGACGGCCUUCUCUACAACUUAGGAGGGAGCGCAGCACCGGCGCCGGCGCCGGUGCCGCCACUCGUCGAGAUGGCUGAGACGUCGAAGGUAAAGCUGGGAUAAUCUAAACAAGGUUGAAUAUCAAACUCUACAAGCCUAAUAUCGAACUCUCUUGUCCCGUGGGUUGGUGCAGUGUCGGAAGAGGAAGAUCAGUGUGGGAGAAGAAGAGAGGUCGGGGAUUUGUAUCGGGGGGAAGAGGCCGGGGAUUUGAUCGUGAAGUGAGGGAAGGGGCGGCGGGGCGGGGCACACAUGAGGUGAGGAGGGGGAUUUUUUAUCGUAUUAUUUUGGGGGUUGGUUUUGGGGGUGUUGGGUAGGUCUGGGUUUACUUUUAGUUGGGCUAAAGAAACAACUUACAUGAACCUAUAAUAUAUGGAUUUUGGUUGGGUUUUAAUUAGGAUAAAAAAUUUUAUGUAUUGGUAAUUUUUAUAAGUUCACUCUUUAACAAUCAAUUCUUUAAUAUUAGUUCUAUAACCUUUUUUAUUCUAAUACCAAAAUCCAUAUAUUAUAGGUUCAUGUAAGUUGUUUCUUUAACAAUUAGAUUUUUAAAUUAUGCAAAUUACACCAAGUUUAAAUUUUUUGUUUCAAAAUAUUAAUUAAUAUAAACCUCCCUUGUGUAGUCCAAAUAUGUAAAUUCUAUAAUUUUGGGCCCAAUUUGACCCAUCAAUAAUGUUGAAGCCAGAAUCUAAUAUAAACUAGUCUGCAUUAGCAUUAAUAUAUUGCCAGUUGGUUUUCUCAAUUCUCUUGAAAAAUUUAAAAAAAAAUUUAAAAAAUAGAAAAAAAUAGAAAAAAAAAUUCCUUAAUCAUUGUAUUACCAUAUACCGACGGUUUAGAAUUGGUAUAAUAAUUAGUUAAAACCGCUGCUAAAAUAUAGUUUUGUUAACACUUGUGGUAAGUGUUACUAAAAUAAGUGUCGCUAUAAAUUAACUUUUGUGUAGUGAUCCAUCUAAUGGUGUUCCCACUUCCUGAAAAUCAAAACAGUCAAAAGACAGUGUGCACUCAUCAAUUUAGCAACUGGUGCGAAUGUCUCAUGAAAGUCGAGUCCCUCAACCUUUUGUGACAAGGUAAGUCUUAUAACACUCCACACUGCUAUUGUCCAUGCGCUUCACCUUGUAUAACUAUUUGCAACCGAUGGGUUUCUUAUUUGGUGGGAGAUCUUCCACGGUCCACAUACUGUUGUCUUCGAGAGCCUUUAUCUCUUGGGCCAUAGCAUCUCGCCAUUUAGGAUUUUUCAUCGCUUGAGAGUAAUUUCUAGGCUUGAUAUCUUCAUCAAGAGUUGCUACAAAUGCUUUGUAAGAUCGAGACAAUUCAACAUGACAAAUAAAACUUUCUAUAGAAUGAACCGUACCUAAAGUCGUCGUGGAGUGAAGUGUCAUGCGGGGGGGUCUUUGGGUUCGGUGGCAUGGCACACAUCAUCUCGUGUGAGCUGAUGUUUUGCGCAUCCUUCUAGACCGUGUGGUCUGGAUUUCUAUCAAAUUCAGCCCACCAUAGUCUUUAGACCCACUCUAUUGCCCGGUAAAAUUUCUUCCUUGCUAGGUUUCUGCAUUUUUGUGUUUGGUUCAAACUGGACUUGCGAGCUGUUGGGCUCCUCACUAAGUUCGACUAUUCUGGACCCGACUGGAGGAACCGGAGAUGGCUGAGCUACUAGCGCAUCUUGAAAGAUCGAGUUGACUGCAUUGGCUUCCUCAAACACCAAUGGCACAAUCGACUCGUCUUCGCUAUCGACCUUAAAUUCUACAAAUUUUUCUUUGCUGAAAACUACAUCUCUCGAGACAAAAACUUCUUGUGUGUCAAGGUCGUAUAGUUUCCAUCCUUCCGAGGUCUUUCAUGAAAUUUAUCAUAGACCCACGGCUUCCAAUGAGAAAAAUAUAUAAACCCAAAAAUUCAAAUAUGAUUAUAAUUCAAUUUUUGCCCGAAGAGUACCUCCGAAGGUGUCUUCCCAGAUAACAGUUGUAUCGAAGUGUAAUUGAUGAGAUAAAUGGUUGUUAAGACACACUCGCUCUAAAACUUAACACGUAGUCCCACUUCGAAGCGCAAGGCUCUCGCUACAUUGAGUAUUUGUCCGUGCUUACGUUCCACUCUCCCAUUUUGUUGAGGAGUGUCGAUGCAGGAGGUUUGGUGUAUUAUCCCCUUAUUUGAGUAAAAUUGUCAUGUCGGACCUAUAAUAAUUUUUCAACAAUUAUCCAAUCUAAUUAUUUUAAUUAUGUGCCCAAAUUGAGUUAUAACCAUAUUAUAGAACUUUAUGAGCAGCCAGCAUAUUUUAGAAUUUUCUUUCAUUUAAAAUGCCCAAGUCCCUCAGCUGUGAUCAUCAACUAUGAUUCGAAAAUAUCUCGCACCUGAUAAGGACCCGUGUUAUAAGGUCCCUACAAAUCACAAUGGAUCAAAUUAAAACUUGUAGUAGCUUUAUUUUCACUAACAUCAAAUGGUGUUCUAGUUUAUUUCUAACGAAACAUAUGUCGCAAGAAUCAUUAAAAGACUUAUUAAUUAAAAUUUCAGGAAUUAAAUUCAAAACUUGGCGAGAUGGAUGGCCUAGUCACCAAUGCCAUAAACCAUAGCUUCCCGUUGUAGUUGCUACACAUGCUAACAACAGUGUCACACGCCCAAGACCCUCCCCAUAAUUUACCUACUCCAAUCAGCUUCUUCGAGGUGAGAUCCUAUACAGAACAAAAAUCAGGAAAAACUGUCACCAAACAAUUUAGAUUUGCGGUCAAUUUUCUAAUUGAAAUUAAAUUACA